RNAcentral lists this long non-coding RNA (61612 nucleotides) under Gossypium barbadense (sea-island cotton). RNAcentral describes it as "long non-coding RNA (GBAR_LNC019950)". The record is from RNAcentral. Lineage: Eukaryota; Viridiplantae; Streptophyta; Magnoliopsida; Malvales; Malvaceae.
UGAUUUUUUCCCAAAUUUCCCCCCUAAAACCCAAAAACGAAAAAACCCCCAAAUUUCCCCCUAAAAUGGAGGCACCAAAGACGAUUCAUCUUCUUUGAUGAGAGUAGCAGUGUGAGGAAUGGGAAUUCAUCUUCUCAUUUGUUGAAACCUGAAUCUGGAGAGAUAUUGAAUUUUGGUGAGAGUAAGAGAAGUGGGAAUGGGAAUUUGUUCACAGGAAACUCUCCGUUCGCCGUGGAGAACAAGAAGAGGUCGCCUAAUUCAAGAGGGAGCAACGAAGAAGCUAUGCUUUCGUUUACUUCAGGUGUAAUUUUACCUUCAUCUGGUGUGGUGAAAUCAAAUGGGGUGCCGGGGAUUCAGAUCACUCUGAUCUUGAAGCUUCGUUUGUUAAGGAGGCCGAAAGUAGUCGAGUCGUAGAGCUUGAAAAGAGGCAUCAAAAACGGGGGAGAAAACCGACUAAUGGAAGAGAAGAGCCUCUAAAUCAUGUUGAAGCGGAGCGUCAAAGAAGGGAGAAGCUUAACCAGAAGCUUUUUGGUGUCUGUGACCCAGUAUUUAUUUUCUUGGAUGAUUGAUUUUUAUUUUGCAGGUGUGAUUGCGUUCUAUAAAUUGGCCGUGGUUGAGGGAAUGAGCAUGAGAGCACUCAUUGCUUACAGAUUCAUCUUCGCCACUGCUUGUAUAACUCCACUUGCUUUCAUCUUUGAAAGGUAACUUUCACAAUUCCUCAUAUAGUCUGUUUUUUUUUAGUGUAUAGGUUUUGAUACCAGAAUAAUUCAAGAACUUAAUCUUUGGUCAACCAACAUAAACAUAGUCAAACAUGGUGGACACCAUCAUACUAGCACCAAACAUGCUGCUGUUGGCGAUCAAGUCUUAGGCUCCUUGUUGGCUUUAGCUUCUUGCCUAACAUUUGCAAUUUGGUACAUAAUUCAUGUAAGUUUUUUUUUAUAUAAUCAUUUUUAUUAGGUGCAUUCAGUAUGUGCAUUAAAAGUGAAUCUAAUUGUUGGAUAUACUCGGACUAGAAAAUGAAUUCGAUUUAGAGGAAUUAAUCAAAUUAAGCUUACGUCUCAAACUAAUCGAGUAUGUUUAAAUUAUUCUUGUUAUGUUUGCGCAUUAUUCUUUCUUUUUUUUUUUUCUUCCUUUUGCAGGUUUCUUAUUUUUGUUACUUUUCUCAUUUCCAUUCUUAUUUUGCAGCCUGCAGCGUGUUGUAAAUCGUUAAGACAAGAAAAGCAUUGAUUUCCAAUGGGGUGGAUUGAAGAAAAUAUGAAAUCAACUCAUAUUAGACAAAUUCUCUCUCAAGCCAUCAGCCUCGGUGCGUUUCCACUUUUCUCUUAAUUCUUUAAAAUCCUUUUAUACUUCAAACAAUUCCAUCGGAUAAUGAUUGAAAUUUUUAGUUUAAAUCUCGUUAAGGAAUGGUUAUUUCAUCGGCACUGAUAAUAUGGAAAGGAUUGAUUUGCAUUAUUGGGAGCGAGUCGCUGGUGGUGGUUGUGCUAUCUGGGAGUAUGGAACCCAGUUUCAAACGAGUGAGCCAAUUUUUUACACGUAUUUAAAAUUAAGUACUUAAAAAUUUUGAGCUUUGAUUUGUGAUAGUCAUAUAAAUUUAAAUUUGCGAAAUGCAGGGAGAUAUAUUUGUGAUAGUCAUAUAAAUUUAAAUUUGCCAAAUGUUGAACUGCUUGAACGACAAGUGAUAGAAGGUUCUCAUGUUCUGAUGUAGAAAAUCUCUAGAAAGUAGAAACAAAUAGUUUUGAUAAGGUUAACACCAUGGUCAACUCUAACAGUCUUGUGCAUGAGCUGUGUACUAGUGGUUGAACAUUUUCUUUCUGAAAUUUAUAUAGGUGUUAUGGCUGUAAAUUAUUUGAAUUAACGGGUCCCCGCCUGGUUAUUCUGUAUGCUGGAUUUAGUACAUUUCAUGUUUGGUUAUGCUUUGUCAGGUUCAUGAGCAGCGAGAUAGCAAAGAAGCUGAUAUACUCACUAAAGGUAACGUAUCCUUGAUAUCAAGCUAGUUGAAUGUGAGCAAAUACAAGUUGUGGUUUGUUUGUUUGUUUUCAACGAACUUUAAACUUUUUAUUAUCAAUCAUGAAAAUAUUUUCUGACUAUUAAAAUCUCUUUCCCCACCAAUGAAGUGGAGAGUGGACACUUCCAAAUAGUUUUGUUUGUUUACUUGUGGAAUGGUCUUAAAUACAUUCCAAGUUCUUCUCAUUUUUUCAUAUGUGUGUGUGUGUGUGUGGUUGAUCAUUCUUUAAAUAUCUUCAUAUGUACAGCUACUGCUUGAGUAUGCUAACCUUUUUAAUCUUUUGACUGGACAUAUUAAUCAGGAGACGCUAAUCUCUACGAUGACAGAAUGUUGUACACAUCUAGUAAUCGUUGGUUGCAACAAAAAUACAUCAUUGGCAGAACUGUUGGGUAAAUCAAACACCUCUAUAUUUCUCAAAGUGUUAACAAGUUCUAGAAGUGAAAACAUUUGUAAAACACUCUGAUUAGGAAUUUCUUGCAUCACCAUUUGUGAUGUAUGCUUUGAGUUUCAAGUUCAUCACACUUCAAUAGUAAAAUUACUCUUCUGUUUUAUUAUUUAUUGUAUUUUUAAUUGUAUAUAUCUUCUCUGAACUAAUGUUUUAUGUUUUCUGCAUGGCAGAAAGGAUCCCAUAGCGUUCACUUAUGCUUACCUGAGGUUUGUUCUAAAUUUUUCCAAAAAUUGGGCUGCCCAGAAAAAAAAAAACUUGAAAUAGGUUUACUUAGUACUAGUUAAAUCGGGCUUGAUUUUAGAUAAAUCUAAUUAUUAUCUUUAAGCAUGAUAUGUUCUAAUACUUUGAUUUAAGCUGUUGAUGUAUGUAUUCUGACUAUGGAAUAUCAUGUUCAAAUAUUCUACAAAGAAGAUAAUUAGGAGAUUCUGCAAUUGUUGAUGGUAAUUGGAAUUUAAGAAUAUAAGCUUAAGGGUUUAAUUGAAAUUUAAGCAUGAUAUGUUCUAAUAUUUUAAAUUUAUAUUGAUGAAUACUUUCCACCUAUAUUGACUUAAGUGAGUAGAUAUAUCAGUAGUGUACAUUUUUUUAUUCCACAAACAAUCUUAAAAAGUUGAGAUAUAUUUUUUAGAUGUAUUUUUUAAUAAUUUACUAUAACAUUAUAAGACACCUAAUUUACUAUAACAUUAUAAAACUAUCUUAAAAAGUUGAAUUGAUUUACGUAUCUUUGCCAUGUUCACUAUGGUUUGAACAGAUUAAGUUACUCUUAUUUUCUUGCAGAGCAUGUAGGAGCCAAAUUUGCGGUUCAAAUUCGAAGCCAUGCUCAAAAGUUUUUCUCUAAGGCUCAUUGCUUUGAGUUCAUUACAAGAUUUCCUUGAUUAAGUAAAUGUAUUAUAUCUUUUAUUACCAAGAUUUACUUGAUUAAGAAAAUGCAUUGUAUAUUUUAUUACCUUGCAUAUGUAUUGUUUAUUUUAGUUUUGAUUCUAAAUUUGUAUUUUUACUUAAGUGGUUUAACUUUUGGAUUUUAAUUGUGUUAUUAAUUUAUUAUUUUAAAUUCUAAUUUUAAAUUCAUUAAUUGUUAUAUUUAUAUUUAGUUUUAAAGUUAAAAUUUUCGUAGAAAAUUUAAUUUAAAUAAUAUUUUUUAUUUAUCCUUAAAACAUAAUAUAAUAUUUAUCAUAGAAAUAAAUAUUAUUUGAAAAAAAAUUAUUUUUUUUAAAAGAUAUAUUUUUAGCGGCGGUUGUGUUAAAAGUGCUGCUAAAGGUCUAUUCUAUAGCGGCGUUUGUGGGAAAAAGCGCUGCUAAAGCUUAAUAUCUUUAGCGGCGUUUGUGAAAAAAGCGCUGUUAAAGGUCUUGGACUUUAGCGGCGUUUGUGGGGAAGCGCCGCUAAAGGUCUUGGUCUUUAGCGGCGUUUGUGGGGAAGAGCCGCUAAAGGUCAUGGUCUUUAGCGGCGUUUAUUUAUAAAAACGCCGCUAAAAUUAGCGACGCUGUCAUUAGCGGCGUUUUUAGCGGCGCUUCUCAAAGUACCGCAAAUACUUUUAGUGGCGCUAAAAACGCCGCUAAAGACUUAAAAAAGCGCCGCUAAAAGCUUGUUUUGGUGUAGUAUACUGAGUUUAACUCGAGAUUUUUGUUAUAAUGUUUAGCUGCUAGGAAAAUGGAAGUUCUGGCGUUUGGAAAAGCUAAGCUUGGGAGACAAGAGACAUCACGUGAGUUUCUAUAUUCCAUCCCUAGAAAUGUUAAAUGGCUGGAAUGAUUAUGUAUUAAGUACUAUAAUGAUGUAUAAACUAUACUGAUUGUGAAUGCUAAGUACAAGUGGCUCAUUACGGAGGGAUUACAAUCGAUAGCAGGAAACCCCACUUCAAAUCAAAAUGAACUACAAGACUACUAUACAAAAUCGUCGAAACUAAAACUACCAAGCAAAAUAUGAAUAGAUAUGUGGAAAAUUACAAAUGGUUUUAUUCCAACACCUUACAACUUAAAGUAGAAAGGCCUGGUAAGAAACGAUCGAUGCCCGAUGUGCAAGGAUAGGGAGGAAUCAGUGGAACAUAUAUUUCGGGAUUGUACCUUCACAGCAAAGAUCGUGCAAUAAUUGGGUGUGGCAGACUCAACCACCAAUAGAAACCAGGGUUAGAAAAAUUGGUUAGCAAUUUUCUUUCUAAACAACAAUCAUACACAAUUCAAACUGUUAGCCAUGACAUAUUGGUCCUUUUGGUUUAACAGAAAUAAAAUGUACCACGAAGACAUUAAACCCAAUAAAACAGAGUUGAUAUCAUUCAUCAGGGCAUAUAUUAUAGAAAAUGAAAUGUUGAAUGGUUUGCUGAUAAUAAAAUCAGUAGACAAAAAUAUAAAAUGGGAACCACCCAAUGCAGAUACUAUCAAAAUAAACUUCGAUGCUUGCAUGAACGAGGGACUGGUAAUGGGUGCAUUUAUUUACCCAUGUAGACACAUCGCGAUCCCAACAACGGCGGAGGCAUGGGCGUGCUUGCAUGCAAUCACUUUCGGGGAAGAGUUAGGAUUCCGAGAAAUAUGUUUCGAGGAGGACUCAUUAAUGGUAAUAAGGGGAAUAGAAAUUUCAAAAGUGGCAGAUCAGAUAUUAGCGCAAUAUUAAAAGAAAUAAAAAAGAAAAUCCCUAAUUUCACAAGGAUCACUUUUCGGUACAUACCCAGAACAGCUAACGGUGUGACACAAGCAUUAGCAAGAGAGGGUCGAUGUCAUGAGCUGCCACGAUACUGGAUAGAGGAGGUCCCAGAUUCAUUAGAAGAAGCUGUCAAAUAUGACCGAGAAGCAAGUGAGAGGACAGUUUGAAAAAAGGCGUUGUGAGACCGGAAAAGGUAAAAGGCUAUUACGAGGACUUGUGGACACAAGUGAUUCUAUCUGGCACUGGUGCAGGUGUUUAUUUUGGCGAAGAAGAAGAUAGGUAGUGAAAUGGGGAGAUCUGGGUGAUUGCUUAGGUUUUAGAAAGUUCUGUUUUUGUUAGGGUUUGAUUUCAUUACUACACCGUUUGGGUGCCCAAUAGAAAAUUAGGUUAGUAAAUGCGUGAGGUGGAGAUAUUAUGAGGCACUAUUUGGGUGGCCAUUAGAAGAAUUACAGCUGCUAAAGCUGUUAUUUAGGUUAUGACCUGCUUCAUUUUAUCCCUCAUCAAUGCACCAGUUCAGUUUAUACUAAUGAGAUCUGAAGAUGAACGUAUAAAUUCCCAAGGCACUCACACGAUCUCACAAACAGCCACUUCAGUUACGCUUAUGUUGAUUUUAACCAUGGUUUCUCAAAGCUUCAUUGUAGUUGUCACACCUGAUUUUCAUUAAAUCUUAAAAUUAGGAACAAUUAGAGGUUAAAUUAGAAAAACCGUAAGUUGAUGACCUCUACUGAAAAAUUAGGAAAAGUUAGUAACUGGUUUAAACAUGAUUGAUGGCUUUUGAGGGGUUCUGCAUGUUUCUGAAAAACUGAGUUUUAAGCUGAAAUUAUUGAGCUUAGCUCAAGAUUUUGGUUAUAAUGCUUAGCUGCCAAGAGAAUGAAAGUUUUAGCAUUUGGAAUAGUUAAGCUUGGGAGGCAAGAGACAUCAGGUGAGUUUGUAUACUCCAUCCCUAGAAAUGUUAAAUGACUGGAAUGAUUAUGUAUUAAGUACUGUAAUGAUGUAUAAACUCUACUGAUUGUGAAUUCUAAGUAUGCAUAAGAUUAUUUUAGCUUAUGGGUAUUUGCCAAGAUAGUUAAAUGCACAUGAAAUAGUUAUGAUUCCAUGUUUAAAAAGAUAGUGUAUUCCAUGAUAAUAUAUAAAUGAAAUGCUUGUAUUGUUUGAUUAUAAUGGUGGGGUAUGGGAGGGAGAUUAUUGACGGGUUAGUUGGAGUUAGGAUUUGGGGAAAUAGUUUUUCUAUAUACCACCAUAUGGUGUUGCUGGGUGCAAAUCAUUAUAUGUGAAGCUUCGGGUCUUGCGGAGGGGACAUUGCGAUGUUUAAGCAUCAAGGUAGUACUGGUAAACUGGAGGUAUGGGAGGAUGAAUAGGAAAAUGGAAUUUCGUUAAGAUUCUGUCAUACAGUGUUGCUGGGUGCAAACCAUGAUGUGUGAAGCUCCUAGCCUUGCAGAGGGGACAUUGCGGUGUUCAAACAUCAAUGUUAAAUGUUAAGUGGAAUGAUAUUGAUUGGUUCUUCGGGGUGACACUGUGACGACAAUUAUUAGGUUCCAUAGAGCAACACUGCGACGACGUCAACAAACUCUAUAGGAAAACACCACGAUGAUGGUAAGGUACUACAGGGAAACACCUUAAAAGAAGUCUAAUAUGUAAGACCAUAACUUGACUAUGACAAGCAACAGAGUCCACUGGGAUAUUAAACAUGAGGUAGUUCACCAGGAAACAUGAGGUUAUAUUGUGUAAGACCAUAACUCGACUAUGGCAGCUUAUGGAGUCUGUCGGAACAUUAAACAUAGGGUAGUCCGCUUGGACGUUAAACAUGGGGUUAUAUUAUGUAAGACCAUAGCUUGGCUAUGACAACAUAUGGAACCUGUUGGGACAAUAAACAUGAGAUAGUCCACUGAGAUAAUAAAAACAGGAACAUCCGUCGGGAUAUUAAACACGGGGAUUAUUGGUACAAGACCAUAGUUUAGCUAUGACAGCAUAUGGAGUUUACCAGGGCUGUAAAUAUGGAAAGACACACAAAUGUUGAGAUUUUCAAAUAUUGACAAGUGAUAACCGACCAAUGGAUUUGAGAAAUCCACUAAAAAGGAACAAAAGUAAUAGAAAUGGAAAAAGUCCACCCAACAGUAACUAAGGAGGCUGAUAGGGCGUAUGGUGAUAACCCAACUAGGAUCAGUUAGGGGAAUGAUGUGCCACUAAUGCAUUGUAUAUAGAUAAUGGAAGGGGAUCUAUCCGUAGAUCACGGGUAAGGAUCUACCAUUAAGAACCGCCAAAAGGUGCUCAAAGAAGUUGUUCACGUUAGAGUAAGACUUGGAAGGUGAUUGGGAGAUUCAUUCCCAAUAUAAGGCUCAUUGAAAUCAUAGCUUAUGAGAGGAGGAUUAAUCGUUUGUACUUCGGGUAGACUAAUUGGCAAAGACACCACAUCAUAAGAGUUUUAUCUAGGAAGGUGUUAUGGGAAUCUGUAAGAAUGCUGAAUUGUCUAAGAAUCGCCACAACAUGUUGACGGUUAUAAACUUAACCAAGUAAAGAUUAAUAAGUUGUUGAUUCGUCAAGAAUGAAAUAUGGAAGUCGUCUUGGAGUCUGCCACUCCAGAGAAAGCAUAAACAUCUGAGCCAAAUAGGGAGUAGCAUGUUGUUCCCUUUUAGUUAAACCUUUGGCAAGAUGGGUUUUAGUUAUGUUUUUGUAUAUGUAUUGGUAAAGAAACUCUCUAAGUUCUUUAAACUUACAGGAUUUUGGUCCAUGUUUGGGGGAUUGAAGAGCCCGAAGAGGGACCAAGUCAGACCCUGUUGAACCUAGUAACAUCGAUAGUGAAGUGUCAUGCACAUAGAAGGGGGUACCUCUAGAUGCUUCGCCUCGGGAUCGAAUAUAUUGUAAUUAAAUAGUUUCCUUAGAUUUUGAAUUUGGAGAUAGUAAGUUUUUAUAUUAAAGUUUCUGUUGUAAGAAUUAUUUAUUGUUACUUAAUAAAGUCAGUCUUUAAAGUCGUUAAGUUUAAAAUUUGUGUUUUGUAACAGCCCGAAUUUGGGGGCUAGUCGGAAUAGUAGUUUCGGGACCACAAAUUCGACAAGAAAAAAAUUUAUUUUCAUUACAUUUUUAUGGUCUAUGAUUUCACAAAAUGAUUUCAUGAAAAUUUUGUUCGAAAAUUUUGACGUUUGGGCACUCAAUUUAGAGGUGUCCAAUUGUUAUGAAAUUUUAAAUUGGAGGUCUUUAUAUGAUAAUUAGACCAUUGGUUAAGUUGGUGGACAAAAAUGGGUAUGGUUAGGCAUGUUUCCAAAGUUUUUUAUUAAGGGCAUUUUGGUCAUUUAGUUAUUAAAAUGAAUUAAAAACAAAAUUAAAAGCCAAUUUUUGUCCAUCUUCAACCCCUAGGCUGAAAAUUGCAUGGAGAAACCAUGGCUAGGGUUUUUCAAGCUUUCAAGCUCGAUUGUAAGUCCGUUCUAUCCCCGUUUUUAAUGAUUUUUAUGUUUUUGAAAUCCUCGUAACAAGAUUUACCUAUUUUUACCAUUGUUUUGAACUAGAGUUUGUGUUUAAAAAUUUACCCAUGAAUGAUAUGCAUGUAUUUUGAUGUUUUAUGGAAGAAUAUGAAUGUUUGGAGUGUGAUAAACGAUUUGUACUAAGUAAUUUUCGAUGAAAAUGCUUAAAAGGAUUAAUUUGUAAAAGUUAUAAAAUAUGUCACAAGUGUGUGAAUAAGUGAGUAUUGUGGACUGCUUCAACUAGGCCUAAAAUACAAGGAAAAUGAAUAAAAAUUAUUUUACGACCCUAGGGGCAAAAUCAUAAUUUUGUGAAACUUUAGGGGCAAAAACAUAAUUUUUCCAAAGUAUGAUUUUUUGACUGGAAUGAAUAGUGUGAAGAUUAUAUAAGUUAAAUGUAUUGUUAUAAAUCAAGAAAGACGAGAAAUGGAAAUUGAUCGAUAAAAAAAAUGAGAAAAAGUGAAAAAAUCUCGAAUGAACCUUUGGAAUAAAAAGGGAUACGAAUGAAGUGACAAAAAUGAUCACAUGUGUGGCACGGAUUGUGUGUAGGCCACUAUGUAAAAGUGAAAGUGAUGGUCACGUGUGUAGUACUAUGUGCAAGCUACUACGUGUAUCGGAAUGAUAGUUCGCAUGUAUAGUACUAUGUGCAGGCUACUAUGCGUACCUGAUAGUUUCGAUCACGUGUGUAGUACUAUGUGCAGGCUACGUGUAUCGAAUGGUAAUGGUCAUGUGUAGUACUAUUGAUGCGAUCCCGGUCGCAUCAUGUUACGACACAACUCGAUGCUACCGAGAUUGGCCCAAACUCUAGGGGCCCAAGUGCAAAAUGAAGUUUUUAAUUUCAGUUUGUCAAUUUGGCAGUUGAAAAAUAAGGACUUUGAUUCAUUAAUUUUUAGUUAUUUUAGUUUGUGUUUUUAAUUAUGUCAUAGUUUGCACAUCAUUAAUAUGUGUUCUGCAUUUAAUAAAGUCAUGCAUUAUGUAACUUUCAUGUUAGUUAAGUUUGCAUCAUUAAAUUAAGUCAAGUUAGUUUAAUUAUGUAACUUUCAUGUUAGUUAAAUUUGCAUUUCAAAACCAUGCAUUUAAGCAUCUUAGUUUAAUAAAUGAGUUGCUGGACAUUUAUUCAACUCAUAUUAGUUUUAAUUAAUAAGUGUUUUUGUUGAACUUUAUUUAAUAAGUGUUGUUCUUAAUUAAUCUAGUUCCUAGGAUUAUUUAUUGAUGCAUGAGUUAAGUUCAUUUAAUUAUGUUUCUUUAAUUAAACUAGUUGCUGGAAUAAUUAUUGCAUAUAUGUUUUAGUUCAUUUAUUUAAGUAAGUUUAAUGUUUAUUAUGAUUAAUAAGUGUUUUCAUUUGUUUAAUAAACUCAUUUUAAUGUGUUUAUUGCAGGUGACUUUUUAGCUUAUAGUGGUUACAAUUCAAGGCUGUUACACAUUUAAUUAAGUGGUUGUUCAAGUUCUUUUGAGUUACAAUUAAAGGGGCUGUUAUAAAGGGAGCUUAAAAUCAUUAAAAGAGUUUUUAAAGAGCAUUUUAUGCCCUUUAAAAUUCAGCAGCAACUCUUCCACUUCCAGCCGUUUUUGGAGCUUUCAAGAGAAAUUAAUCAAGCCUUUGAAUGUCAUUAAGGAGCUGGUUAAGAGAUGGUGUCUAUUCAACUAGCCAAGGACAACUCAAGAAUCAUUUUCUAAGCCAUUAAAGACAUUCAAAUCAGCUGAAUUAAAAUGAUUGUAUGGAAGGAGUUAUUUGGUUCAAAGAAUAAGAAAAGACAUCAGUUUUUAUGGCAGAUUAAGUGGAUGUUUUUGACCAUUCGGUUACCUUGUUUUAGCAUUAUAAAUAGAUGUAAUCAGCCAUAGAGAGAAAGAACUUUUUGCUGAAUAUAGAUGAAAUAUUUGAAUUGUGAGCUAUCCAAUUCUUUUUGUUCUUUCGGAAUUGAUUUGACUUAUCAAGCAUAGCUUGUGGCGUCCAUCUUUUCUUUGUUGCUGAACUUAUCACCUUUGGUGUGGCGUUCAAUAUACCUUUGGUUCCUAUCAUAGUUGAUAGUGGGUCAAGGUUCCUUUCCUGUUUCCUUUAACCGAAAAACACCUAAAGACCAUUUUGAGAUUCGGGUCAACAAUUCGUUAUUGUUGGUUCAUUUUCGGUCUUAGCCAAUUAAUUUGUUAUUGUUUCCUCUUUAUUUUGUUUAUUACCUUUGUUUGAAGCCAUUAUCUCUAUUUUGUUUCAUUUUAAAACCGAAACGAAUCCAUCCUUAUUCAAUUCACGAUUGGGCAACACAUACGACUCAAAACAUCACGAGACGAGUUCGUAUCAAAUUGGUAUCAGAGCUAGCGAAUUUGGAGUAAGAAUCGACGUUGUCGGCAUUACGGUAUAGUAGUUUCUCGAAAAAAAAUUCAAAAAAAAAUUAAAAAAAAAAUUUUGGUUUCCAUUCAAACUUAAAAGAUUGGAUAUCAAGUUGUGAAAAAAAAAAUUUUGAAAAAAAAAUUGUGAAAAAAAAAAUUGUGAAAAAAAAGAGAGCUAGUUUUGAAAUUUAGUUUUUGUUUGCUGCCCAAAUUUUAGUCAUUAUUACCUUCUACUAUUUCGCCACACCCAACCUUUUCAUUUCUUUGUUUCAAGCCUACCUUCCUUUGUCCUACAAUAAUCUUACCAAGCCCAAACAUCAAGUUUGUAAGCCGACCCACAACAACUGCUUUUUAAGUUUAAAUAAUUCCUAAGAACUUAGAGAGGAGGAGUGAGUGGAAAGAGGCAAGAGAGUAGUGAGUUUAUUCGAGAGAAAAAAAAAGCCAAGGAAGUGAGAUUUCUUUGUGAGUGGAUAGUGAGAUUUUCUUUGUUGUGAGUUCUUAAAAAAAUGUCACGAAGUCUAGAAAAAAAUUCAGACAAGGGAGUUGGAUUCCGUCCUAUAAGAAUUGUUGGAGGAAGUGUGCCAGAUUUUACACUCCAAGCCUUUACGCAUGAAAUGGAGCAUCUAUUUGAUCGAAAACUCAAACCCAUCAAGAAACGAUUGGAUCGUGUCGAAGAGCAGAGUCAUCGAGCAAGAACCCAACGAGAGAAAAUUUAUCCAAAUGAAAGGACGAAAAUGAGAUCAUCAAGGAGACAAACAUUCGACGAAUAUGUGAAAAGAGACCCUUAUCCAGAUUCCUAUUCUUCAAGGAAUUUAGGCCGAAAUAAAUCCAGCUAUGAGUUUGAAGCCUAUCAAGGUAACGAAUGAGAAAGUACAAGUCAUUCUUCGUAUGCAUCAAAGUAUUCAUCUACGGAAAAAUUCUUACGAAGAAGUGAAUGUGUUUCGUAUAAGAACUCAUCCAUGAAGGUUUAUUCACGAAGAGUUGAUCGUGGCUCUUAUGAAGAUUCUUCCAUUUCUUUCCAACGAAAAGUCUAUUGUUCUGAUUCUUUUGUAUUAUCUCCAUUUUGUAAUAAAGUUGAGAGAAGAAAAAGAGUGACGAGAGAAAAAGAAACCGAAAUAAAAAUUGAAAAAGAGAAAAAGAUUGGAGAAAGAAAAGAAAGAGUGCAAGAAACAAGUGUUGUUGAAAAUGAAAGAGAAUUGAUGAGUGAAAGUGAGUUUUCAACAAACAAAGAGAUUGUGGAAAAAGAAAGAGAAGUUGAAAAAGAAACGAGUGAAAAAGAUGAAAGUCAACAAGAAAAAGCGAGGAAUGUUUUUACUAACCAAUCUGCAAGUUGUCCUCAUAUUGUUUCUUCUUUCCAGGUUUCUAGAGAUUCAAAUGACAAGUUUCAACUUCAUUACCUUCUUGAUGAGAGACGAUUCCAUUUGAUCGAAAAAGGUAAGGUUCAAGCGCUUAAAGGUAAGCAAGGUAAGGAGUUUUUAGUCAGUGAAUCAUGGCAAUCAGGUUUGAAAGUUGUUGAUAAAAUUUCCGAUAACUUAGUUUUAAAAAGAUCUCCUUAUUUUGAUUUGGUUAAUUGUUACUCGCUAUUUGUGGUUGAUAAAUUCGUUUUAAGUGGAGGCAUGAAGAGUUGUUCACUCAAUAAGUUUUGUGUUGAAAAAUCUUUUGAUGUUGUUCGAUUAAAUCCACAAAUACAAAAUCUGAUCAUGUUUGAUAAAGAGCUUUCAUGUGAAACGCUCAAUCUGUUUGAUCGUGAUGGUAAUGAAAAUUUUUUAACUCUUAGUGUGAGAUUUUCGUAUAUUUGCUUGAGAUUUGAGAGAUUUGAUUGUUUGAAUUUAUUUUUGCCUACAUCUUCUUUAUUUGGCAUGUGUGAUGUCUUGGUGAAAGUGAAGUUUUUGUUACGUUACGGAAUGACCGAUCAAAACCAUGUUUUUAAACCCGGAGCCUUUAUUCCUAAGUUGACGUCAAGCGAAGGUGAGUAUCAAAAUUGUAUUUUGAAUCAAUGUGUUGACCCCUUCUAUUUGCUUCACGUUUUAUCUUUAUUUAGUUCGAAAACCAAACAUGUGAAUUUCGUUGGCUUGCCAAGUCAAAAUCAAAUUUUUGAUUCUGGAGGUUGUUGUAUAUUGUUGCUUAAUGGAUUCGAACAUGUGUUGCAUGAUUUUAACUUUAAUGUGCUUCAAGUUCUUCAUAAGUUACUAGCCACAAAUUUUUCUGGUCAAACUGAAAUGGUGAACAAAAACUUUAUCUUUGAUCCCGGUGAAUGCUGUUCCAUAUCAUUGUUCAAGGGAUUUGGACCAUGGAAUUCUAAUUUUUGAAACUAUAAUCUUCAAAUAUCUUGUGAAUCAGGUUUGUUUCCAUUGAAGAAAAAGGUAAUACCAAUUUCUGUUUUUGAUCCCGGCAUUGAUUCAUAUGUUGUUCUUUUGAGUUUAUUUGCUCAAGUUGUGACUAAAAUCUUGGAAAGUUCUUUUGUGUUUAACCUUCAUUGUGUCACUAAUUUGUUUUAUUGUUUUGUAGGUGGCAUUGUUAGGUGGUACCCUCCUAAAGAGGGAGGGCAUGCAAAUAACCUACUUUCUUGUCGAGCCGUAUAUGAUUCACACGUUCUUGAAAGUGACUUUGUCAGGUUUAUGACCAACGAGGUUUGUGACCUUGAGAGGUUUGUCGCGAGCAAAUGGCCCGAUUUGAGGACAAAUCAUUUUCAAGAGGGAGGGUAUGAUGCGAUCCCGGUCGCAUCAUGUUACGACACAACUCGAUGCUACCGAGAUUGGCCCAAACUCUAGGGGCCCAAGUGCAAAAUGAAGUUUUUAAUUUCAGUUUGUCAAUUUGGCAGUUGGAAAAUAAGGACUUUGAUUCAUUAAUUUUUAGUUAUUUUAGUUUGUGUUUUUAAUUAUGUCAUAGUUUGCACAUCAUUAAUAUGUGUUCUGCAUUUAAUAAAGUCAUGCAUUAUGUAACUUUCAUGUUAGUUAAGUUUGCAUCAUUAAAUUAAGUCGAGUUAGUUUAAUUAUGUAACUUUCAUGUUAGUUAAAUUUGCAUUUCAAAACCAUGCAUUUAAGCAUCUUAGUUUAAUAAAUGAGUUGCUGGACAUUUAUUCAACUCAUCUUAGUUUUAAUUAAUAAGUGUUUUUGUUGAACUUUAUUUAAUAAGUGUUGUUCUUAAUUAAUCUAGUUCCUAAGAUUAUUUAUUGAUGCAUGAGUUAAGUUCAUUUAAUUAUGCUUCUUUAAUUAAACUAGUUGCUGGAAUAAUUAUUGCAUAUAUGUUUUAGUUUAUUUAUUUAAGUAAGUUUAAUGUUUAUUAUGAUUAAUAAGUGUUUUCAUUUGUUUAAUAAACUCAUUUUAAUGUGUUUAUUGCAGGUGACUUUUUAGCAUAUAGUGGUUACAAUUCAAGGCUGUUACACAUUUAAUUAAGUGGUUGUUCAAGUUCUUUUGAGUUACAAUUAAAGGGGCUGUUAUAAAGGGAGCUUAAAAUCAUUAAAAGAGUUUUUAAAGAGCAUUUUAUGCCCUUUAAAAUUCAGCAGCAACUCUUCCACUUCCAGCCGUUUUUGGAGCUUUCAAGAGAAAUUAAUCAAGCCUUUGAAUGUCAUUAAGGAGCUGGUUAAGAGAUGGUGUCUAUUCAACUAGCCAAGGACAACUCAAGAGUCAUUUUCUAAGCCAUUAAAGACAUUCAAAUCAGCUGAAUUAAAGUGAUUUUAUGGAAGGAGUUAUUUGGUUCAAAGAAUAAGAAAAGACAUCAGUUUUUAUGGCAGAUUAAGUGGAUGUUUUUGACCAUUCGGUUACCUUGUUUUAGCAUUAUAAAUAGAUGUAAUCAGCCAUAGAGAGAAAGAACUUUUUGCUGAAUAUAGAUGAAAUAUUUGAAUUGUGAGCUAUCCAAUUCUCUUUGUUCUUUCGGAAUUGAUUUGACUUAUCAAGCAUAGCUUGUGGCGUCCAUCUUUUCUUUGUUGCUGAACUUAUCACCUUUGGUGUGGCGUUCAAUAUACCUUUGGUUCCUAUCAUAGUUGAUAGUGGGUCAAGGUUCCUUUCCUGUUUCCUUUAACCAAAAAACACCUAAAGACCAUUUUGAGAUUCGGGUCAACAAUUCAUUAUUGUUGGUUCAUUUUCGGUCUUAGCCAAUUAAUUUGUUAUUGUUUCCUCUUUAUUUUGUUUAUUACCUUUGUUUGAAGCCAUUAUCUCUAUUUUGUUUCAUUUUAAAAUCGAAACGAAUCCAUCCUUACUCAAUUCACGAUUGGGCAACACAUACGACUCAAAACAUCACGAGACGAGUUCGUAUCAACUAUGUACAGGCUACUAUGUGAACUGAACAUCAUUGAUUAGUAAGGUGGUUGCUAUGUGCUGAUUCCACCGGACAUCAUUGAUUAAUAAGGUGGUUGCUAUAUGCUGAAUCCACCGAGUAUCUGUUAUUAUUCCGAAGUGUUCAUCUGGAAAUUGACUAAGUGUAAUUGAAUAAUAAAUAUAGGCGUGGAAUUGAAUUGAAUAUCGACUUAGAAAUGGAAAAAUGAAUUUUGAAUUGAAUUGUGAUUGAAAGUGAAAAAGUGAAAUUAUGAAAGUGUACAUUUAGCAAUAAAAUAGUUUAGACAGCAACAGUUGUGUGACUUUAAAAAAUCACCAAAAAUGGUGGAGAUUGAAUUAGAGGCUGAAUAAUAUAUAAAAUUGAAGCUGAAUGAGUUUAUUUUCACAUAAAAGAAACAGAGCAAGUAAAAGAGUUAUAUAUUUUGAGAUAUUUGAAGUUUAGUUAGAUAGAGUUAGAAUGAGUUCGGAAUCCCCUAUUCUGAAUUUGGAAAAUUGUAAAAAAUUUUAAAAAAAUAAUUAUGGGAUAAAUUUUAUAUGUUUAGAAUCCUCAGUGAAUUUAUUUUCAAGAGAAAAAAAACGAAAAAAAUAUCCGAAUUCUGUACAAUGAGAUGAUUAAUUUUAAGUGAAGAGAGGUUAGAACUGUCGAACAGUGAAACAUGGGAAACUUUAAAGAAUAAACUGUACUAUUUGGCUAAACCAAAAAUUCUAAAAAAAUUUUGGUAAGAAUAUAUGUGAAUCUAGUUUUAGGGAAAAUUACGGAUCUUAAUUUGGAAUUUUGUAGCUUCGGAUAAAAAUAAUUUAGUGACUCUGACUCGAAUAGACAGCUUUGAAUAUACAUGUGAGUGAAUAGUGAAAUUGGAGUUAAUGUUGUUUAAGUGUGUUAUACACAUUAAGGAUGUGGAAUGGAGAGGAGGAGGAGGAAAAUUGGAAGAACAUAUGAAUUAUUUGUGUAUAAUUGACCAUAUGCUCAAUUAUAAUCGAUAAACGAUUGAAAAGAAAUGAUGUUUAUAAUUGUGCAUUAUUAGUUAUAGUUAAAGUUCAUGUGAGAAAAUAAAGUUUCAUAGUAUGUGUAUGUGGUAUACUUGGUAUAUGAUUUGGUAUGUAGCAAUGUCAGAAAUGGUUUAUGAAUUAACUCAUGUUGAUAAGUUUGAUACAUAAAUAAAUGUGGUGCUUAUCCAUGCUUGUAAUGCUUAUACUAUAUUUUUAUUUGGCUAGCAUGUUUGGUGUGUAUGCUUAGGCUUUGGCCAAGUUGUGGCUGGAUUACGCCACAUUAAAUUUAUAAAAUUAUGCAUUGAGAUGGUAAAUGUCUAGAUGGAAAUAUGCUUGUGAUCAUAAAAGGGUGGUAAGGUUUAAAGUUUGUAAUCUUUAUUAAAAUGGUUUAUCAUGUGGUUAGUCUUCAAAAAGACUAGCUCGCGACUAUGGUUGAGUGUAAUGUUUAUAUCUUGUGUGAUAUGCAUAGAAAACAGGAGUGGAAAGGAAAUGAAAUACUAAGUUCAUGCUUGAAGUGUAAAAUGAUGCAAAAAGGGGACGUUAAGUUAAACGACAAAUAUGUAUUAGUAUUGAACUUAAUAAAAUUGAAUUGUACGUGAAUUAAAUGGAAAUGCAAAUGAUAUGAUGUGAAUUAAAUGAAUUAUUGUGGUAUUGAAAUGUAUAUUGGAUUGAGAAAUUGAAUUGAAUGUGAACAUGAGAAUCGCGAAUUAAAUGAAAUAGAAAUGAAGUAUUGAAUUUGCAUGAGUAUGUAUUGGGUCUCAGAAGCCCUAUUUGUUAUAAAUAUAGUAUUUUGAAGUUAUAACGUGAAGAUUUAUAAAAGCAUGUUAAAAAAUUUGAAGAGUUUAAAUUUGAAUGAAAUUUUAUAAUUCGGUUUAACAUGUUUAUAAGUGUAUGUGUUCUGGUAAUGCAUCGUACCAUAUUCCGGCGUCGAAUAUGGGUAAGGGGUGUUACACUGUGGCAUCGCUAGAUUCGGUCAUAACGUUUAGACCGGAUUUGGGGUGUUACAUGUUUAAUCUAAUCCGGUCCAUUUGUGGUACCCCAUACCCGAUUCAACGAUCGAGUUGAAUGAGGGUGUUACAUUAGUACUAAAGAUUAAAAUAUAGGUUGUAAUAUGAGUAGCAACUUUUGUUAAUCAAGUUUACCUAAAUCAUUGUUUGUGGAGAAAGUAAUUUUAACUUCAAUUUAAAUAUUUUGAUCCAAUUUUAAUAUAGAAAUGAAUUAUAAACGCUAUCAUAAUUCAAAUCUAUGUGUAAAGUUAAUGUACUAAAUUUUAUAAUUAAGCUAGAAAAUUCCUCAGACAAAUUUUAUAAAAUCAUUUAAAGGAAAUUAUAUAAUCUAUUUUUUAACAAAAUUUGAUGGAGAAGAAGAAUAAUGUGAAACCUAAACAAACUUUUGAAUUUCACAUCAUGCAAAUAUUUUAUUCACAAAUGUCAUCAUCAAACCGCAUUUAUAUUAAAAGGGGAAAAAGAGCUGGAUUUUAGUUAAUUCUUAGUCUCUAAGACUGGCGUCACUACCAGUUCCACACCAUCUUGAUGAUAUAUACUAGAGAUAAAAGAUAAGGGCCAAUUCACUAAAAGUCCCUCAAACUAUAUAUUUUAAAUUGGUCUCUAAAUUUUAAGAUGUUCCAAUUGAGUUAUCUAAGUAUUAGAAUAAUAUAAAUCUAGUCAUCAACUUUAGUUUUAAAUGUCAAUUUAGAUCUAACAUGAAACAUAUUUAAAACAUGUAAAUUAAAUUAUAGAUACAUAUAUACUUACCACGUGUCAAGCUUGUAUCUAAUUUGUUAAAAACAAAUAUUGCCAAUAAAAUUGAGGGAGACUUUUAAAGACCAAAUACUUAAUUGAUAUAAUAUUGAUACUUUGAGGAGGGGAGGGGGGAAUUGAAAAUUUGUUACUUUGAUGUAACACUUGCACAUUAACUUUAAUUUCUACUUAUCUCAUCAUUAAUUAAAAAUUAAUUACUUGAGUACUUAUACAUAUUUGACUCAUACUACAUUAUUUUUAUUAUAUUUAUGUUCAUAUAUAUACUGUUUUUUUACUCAUGUAAUGUAUCAGUUUAGGUGCAUGUAUUAAUUGAAUUAUAGUAUGUCUUUUGUUGAAACUCUGUAUUAAUUAAAUUAAGAUUUCUCUAUUAAUUUAAUAUGAAAGUAAUACAAAAAUCUAUUUCUCGAUAUUAAAUAAGUAAAAAAACUAAACCAUAUAUUUAAAUAAUCAAUAGCCUUAAAAUAAAAAAUUAUAAAAAAAAGUUUGAAUUAAAAAAAAAGAAUAAAAUUGUUUGGACCCCAUUAUCUCACACACACACACACAAAAAAAACUAAUUGGAGGUACAAACACCAACUCUUUGGCAAAAGUAUUUAUAUAAAAAAUUUAAGAAAGUUAAUAGAAAGAUAAAAAUUUUAAUUGUUUUGGGUUAUUAAAUUGGAAAAGAAAUCAGUAAUACAUGUUAAAUUUUUUUAUAAAAUAUUAAUAUUUAUUUAUUGACACAAAUUUCAAAAUAAUUACUAAAUUAGUAGUACAUGUGAAAAUUUGUUUAAAAAUGUUAUUAUUUAUUUGUUUAACAAUUAAUUAAAAUUUUAUUUUAAAAAUUGGUCCCACUUUCUAUAAUAGUAAAAAAUGUGGAGCUGGCAUGUAGUCAACACUAACACUUGUUAGAAUUUGAACUCAUCAUUAAAUAAUGUUUCCUAUAAAGGUUAAAUUUUGCUAUUAACCCCUAUACUUAGUAAAAGUUAUGGAUUUAAUUUCUAUAUUUUAUUUGUCAGUUUUAGUCUCUAUAUUUUUCAAAAUUUAAAAUUUUAGUAAACACCAAAUAAUAAUUGUUAAAUUCAUUAAUUAAAGUUCUAUUGUAACACCUUAUACCCAGUUUGGUCACCAAGCCCGAAUAUCAUGAUGCCACACCACCAUCUCAUGUCAUACUCAUAGUAAAUUGUCACAUUAUUAAGAAAUUAUCCUCUUUAUUAGUGAUCUUAUAAAUUUUUAGUUAGACAUAUACCAAUCAUCAUUAGAACAUGCCAAACAUACUUUAAAUAAUCUUAUAAUAAAUAAACAUGCAUAAGGUCAAAUUUACGAUUUUGACUUUCUGCACAUUUCAAAAUCACACAGGUAUCAUUUUUACAACAAGAAUAUCGAUACCUCUGCUCCAGACCGGGAAAAUACAACAUACUUGAGCAUACAAAUCAUUCCAACAUGUACCAAUCCAUCAUGCUAUCAUAUCGUCUAAAUGUCAAAAACGAUCGUAGUAAUAGUCUCAAGCAUUGAAAGUAAGUCCGAGCAAUAAUCAACGUAAUAUGAAAUGAAUUUCAUAAACUUAGGAACAAAUAAUCUAUGGAAGCAUCCAAGCAUCAUGACAAAUAUUAGUAAAAGUCUACCACAUUGCCUUAUCCCCAAAAUAUAAACAAAUAACAAUAACCCCUAUGAAAUCACAGAAAAUGACCUGCUUGGAUCUGCCAUUGGAACCACACCGCUCACACUGGCACACAACUAAUCUGCAAGGGUUUAAAAGGAGUAGGUGAGCUUAACAAGCUCAGUGAAUGCUCAAAAUAACCAUAAUGUACACACAAUAUGAUAGGUUAAACAAGAGCAUGUUACAACACAUUCACAACCAUAUUCUAAUAAAGUCAAAAUAACAUAUUCACGUUUCAUUAAGUCAUAAAACUAACAUAUACUCCUACAUGCAAUUAUACUCAACUCACUUAUAUAUAAUUCAUUUAGCAAUAAUUCAUCAAGACUAAAUGACGUAUACAUGCUUUAAUAAUCCACAAGUCUAGUAGAUAUAUUCAUAUGCAUUCACAAGUUAAAUGGAAACGAUCCAAAUCACAAUUACAUACACAAUUUAAUAAAAGAACAUACUAACACUUUCAUGAAACUUAAAUUGACUCAUUUAGCACAUUAUUUACAUAUUUAUGCAUCCAUAUCACAUCAUAUUAUAAAAAAAAAAACUAAGAACACAUUUAAACGAUAAUUUGCAUAGCAACCACAUACUCAUUUAGGCAUACAUCACAUUAUACAUAUAUAUAUUAAGAUAAUUUGGCACUUGAGGCUAUGAAACAUAAAAUUGGGCUCUACCACCACACAUCGGAUACACGGAUCUCCAACACACCAAAUGACUCAUAGAGUCAAACAUAUCCCAAAGUUGAAACAUAGAGCUAACACUCUCCAACACACUAAAUAACUCAUAGAGUCGAACAUAUCCCAAAAGUGAAGCAUAAAACUAACACUCUCCAACACACCAAAUAUGUCCCAUUGAUGAGUUUAGCUCACAUUCCUUCAUCUCUCUAACAUGUCUUAGGGCUUCAACGCUCAAAUCACAAAACACAUAUAGGUGAGUACUCACAAUUCUAUGGUAUACCAACUAUAUCCAAUGGUCUCAUAAGGUUACAAGGCCAAAAUAUCAACAAUUACACAAUUUUAAUUAUUGAUUUAAUGCACAUCAUCUCUGUUCAUAUUCAUCAGUUCACAUCACAAACUUGUACACAAUGCAUGCUUAUCGAAUUCACAUUUAAUUGCACUUAAAGUGCCACAAUAAUGAUCAUUGAGCCAUAACGUAUCCAACCAUAUAUAAGUGCAUUAAAAUUAGUUUAUCACAUACAUAAUCUGUUAUAUUAGCAUCACAUUCCAUAAUUCAACACAUACGUACUUACCAAUUUUUGCACAUUUUCACUGCAAAUUUAUAUUGCUAACACAACAUCAUCACUAUCAUUCGACAUAUUUAAUAUUCCCACAACACAAUACAAUUCACAAUAGUCAUCACGCACGUCUCAUAUCACAAUAUCGCAUCAUAAUAAUCAAUCCAUUAAUAUUCUCAUAAUCACAUAAUUCACCAAAAAUAAAACAAGGGAAAUAGAAAACUUACACUCAGAACUUAAGAUAGGGUUUAGGCUAUUCCUAAGCUCCCAAUUAACACUAUGAAUCGUGUCUACUAGCAGUUAUUCCAAACACUCACCGAUUAUGCUUUCGCCAAAAAGCCAAAAGCUUAAACUAGCUUUUCCUUGUCUUUCGCCUUGCUCGAAGAAGGUCCUAAUGAUUCUGAAGCCUUACCAAAUUAAAUCACACAAUAAACACAAUUAACAUUCAACUAAAGACUCACCAAAAUCAUCUAAAAACACAAGCCUAAGUUAAGUUCUCAUGUAACCGAAACCUUUAACAUAGAAAACUUAAAAUUUGAAUAUCUCGGUCUAUACUUAAGAUUUUCACCUAAAACCAGUUUCGUUCAUCUUAUAAUUCACCUAUGAUUAAUUCCCAACCUUUAAACUACAAUAAAAUACUCAAUUCAUGUUAUCGAAAUUUUGGACAUGUUUAUGGCUAUUUUCACAGAAAUUUAUUAAAACUUAAGAAAUCUUUAUCGAAACUUCAAAAUAAUUUUAGAAACCUUCUAAUCAUGUUAAAACUAAUUAAAAAACACUUUGAAACUAUGUUUUUAUCCAAAAUCCCGAAAUCCACCAUUAACGAGUCAAUUUUUUACUUUUAUUCAAAACAUGCGAUUUAAUGGCUAAAAACUUAGUUUUAAAGACUAAAUAACAUUUAAAACUAUUUAUGAGUUGAAUCGUUACCUUAGACAAUGAAAAAUCGAGUAUUUGAUUGAAAACCCAAAAAACUCACAAGCUUGACAAUGAAGGAAUCUAUGGCAUUUUUGGGUGUCUUCUUGGAUUUUAUGGUGAUAUUUGGCUUGAGCGAUGAUAGAAAUCAAGAGAAUUAAGGUUGAAGAACAAAAACUAGAAGAGAUGAGCUUUGGGAGCAAGGGACGGCUAAAGCAUGAAAAUGGAGAAGACUAACGUGAUAUGUGGGAGGUGAUUUUAGGUUGAUUUUUAAAAUUUGGUUUAAUUGCCCCUUAACAACUCACAAUUUUGACCCUUUUACAAAUCAAUCCUUUUUCUAAAAUUAAAGGUUUCUAAAAUACUUUUCAAAAGUUGAUUUGACCUUUUAAAAAUCAUAAUAAAAAAAUAUUACCGAUAUACCAUGUCGUAAAAUUCUAAACACUCUAUGACUAAAAUUCUUAAAAUACCUCUAAAACUUCUAGGCCCAAUUUUGGGGUGUUACAAUUCUCCCCUUCUAAAAAGAAUUUUGUCCUUGAAAUUCCCUGCUACCACAUCACUUGCUUAAUCGCUAAAUAUGGUAUCCUAAUUUUAAACCAACCAUAACACUUUCGCUGUGCACUUUGAUACUAUUCUCUCUAACUUCUUACAACUUUUCUUAAAGAUCUUAUCCACCACCACAAACCAUUCUACGAUAAAUUUGCUAACAAAUUCCUCUACUUACUAUGACACUCUCGUCUAAAGAACUUGUAAUUGUUGUUCCAAAUCUAACAGUCUCUAUCGAGAUUCUCUACUUAAUAGCUAAAUCGGUUCAAAAUUAUGAAGGCAUAGAACCUAAGUCUACUAACAAGAACAAAAUUAUUUAUUACAAGGCAAAAAUACCCGUAAUCUCGUUGACCGAAUCUAAUAAUCUAACAUUCACAAACAAACAAACAAACAAACAAACAAACAAACAAAUAAAGGUGUGAGUGGCAGGGGAAAUGAUCCAAGUCUCAUUCCUUCAAGUAAAAUUUAGGAUUAAAGGCAAUGUGUUCCCAUUCCUACCCCACAUAUUUUAAAUAAUCGGGUCAUAUUUUAAAUUAGAACAUGCCAAAUAUACUUUAAAUAAUCUUGUAAUAAUAAUUAAACAUGCAUAAGGUCCAUUUAGCAAAAUCUCAAAAUUGACCACGUAGGUAUCGAUACUAAAGGUGAGGUAUUGAUAAUUCUUUCAAGUGGUAUCGAUACCGCUUAGAAAAUCGGUACCAAAACAACAUUCUGUUUCUCAUCCAAAAAUCAAAACCUGGAAAAUAUCAAUACAAUUGAAAAAGUAACGAUAAAAUUACCCCAAGUAUCGAUACUCCUGAUAGGGUAUCCAUACCAAUUUACGAUUCUGACUUCCUACACAUUUCAAAAUUAUAGAGGUAUGGUUUUUAUGCAAAAUCCCAAAAUCCACCAUUAACGAGUCAAAUUUCGGCUUUUAUUCAAAACAUGUGAUUUAAUGGCUAAAAACAUAGUUUUAAAGACUAAAUAACAUUGAAAACUAUUUAGGAGUUGAAUCGUUACCUUAGAUGACGAAAAAUCAAGUGUUUGAUUGAAAACCUGAAAAACCCACAAGCUUGACAAUGAAGGAAUCUACAGUGUUUUUCUUGGAUUUUAUGGAGAUAUUUGGCUUGGGUGAUGAUAGAAAUCAAGAAAAUUAAGGUUGAAGAGAAAAAAGUUGAAGAGAGGAGCUUUGGGAGCAAGGGACAGCUAAAGCAUGAAGAUGGAGAAGACUAAUGUGAAACUUAUAGGUGGGGGAUGAUUUUAGGUUUAUUUUUUAAAAUUUAGUUUAAUUGCCUCUUAAAAACUCACAAUUUUGACUCUUUUAGAAAUCAUUCAUUUUUUUAAAAUUAAAGUUUUCUAAAACAAUUUUUAAAAAAUUUAUUUGACCUUUUAAAAACCAUAAUAAAAAAAACAUUACUGAUAUACCAUGUCACAAAAUUUCGAACACUCUAAGGCUAAAAUUUCUAAAAUACCCCUAAAACUCCUAGGCCCAAUUUUGGGGUGUUACAUCUAUUAUUUCCAAAAUUUGAUGCGCCAAACAUAUUAACAUAAAUGUAAUGUCAUGUCAACUUAUUAUUUUCACAUAUUACUCACUAAAAAUCCAGUUGAUGAAUUACUGACUGUCAUUUACGUUAAGAUUGAAAUUUCAAAAUUCGAAAAGUAUAAAGACUUAGAAUCAUUCAAAUGGAGAAAAUGAACUAAAUCUAAAAUUGUACACAUGGUAUAGGACUAGUAAAUGAAUUUGAUCAAACGAAUUUAACUGCUACUGUUUGGCCGAGAAUAAAAUUACAAAUUUUGAAAAAUACAAAAAAAAAUAAAAGUAAUCAAUUUGAAAAACAUAAAGAUUAAAAUUGAUUAAAUAAAAAUAUAUAAAUAAAGUCCACAACUUUGAUAAAGUAUAAAAAAUAAUAUCAUAAUUUAACCUUUCCAAAAUGCAUGGAAAUCUUACUUCAAAUAAUAUGUGUAGAUUCUUUAAAACAAUAUAUGUGUACACUAAUCACAUAGCUAUUACUCUAUUAAUUAAAGACAUGUAUGUAAUUCCGAAACUAAAGUCAUGGCAAAUAUUGAAAUAAAUACUUAAAAGAAAAACUGUUAGCUUCUAAAUUUUUAGAAGAAAAGAAGUUAGAGGGAGAAUAAUUUCUAGUAAAUAUUGAUUUAUGAAAUUUAGAUUUUGUUUUUCCAAGUAAUUAGUAUUAUUGUUGUUGUAAUACCAUUACAGAUUAGAAUCACUCAACAUAAGAAUAAUCAAGAUUAUAAAACUUAAAAAAAAAAAAAAACUAAGAUUAUAAACUACAUGGUUGGAAAACCAAAUCAUUUUUUCAGUUCCUUGUUUUUUCCUUCUUUUUAAAAAAAAUUACUUUAUUUUUCCUAGUAAAAAGAAAAUUUUGGGCUUUUAUAGGGAAUUGGCUAGGGUUUUAUAGGAAAAACUUGGAUUUUUAUAGAAAAAACCAUUUUUAUCUUUUUUAUUUUUUAUUUUAGAAUUAAUUUAGUUGUUUUCCAAAGAGAUGAUUUUUACAGAGAAAAAAUUAGUGUUUUACAGGAAAAACUUGAGUUUUUUUUAUAAAGAAUUGAGUUAUAGGAAAAAUUUGAGUUUUAUCAUUGCAGUUGAAUAACUCAAUUUUCGGUAUACACUCAAGUUUUUUUUAAAUAAAAUUAAUUCUAAAAAAGAAAAGAGUGACCAAAAUAAAAACAUUAUUAAAGUUGAGUGACUAAAAUGAGUGUACAAUAACAUUGCCUAACCUAAAUUAACAACGGAAGACUAAAAUGAAAAUAGUUUGUAAUGACAAUGCUCUUCUUGCAUUUUUUUAGUGCCUAAAAUAAAAACUUAUGAAAAUUGGAUGGUAACCCAUAAAUUUCCCAUCAUAAAAUUUCUUUAUUAAUUUACUUUUGCAAUUUUUAUUGAUUUACUCGUGACUUUUCAAUAUAUAUAUUUCAUUUUUUAUUUUUAAAAGAUAAUUAGUGAUGUCCACGGAAUCAAUUAAAAAUGUAACAUCCCGAAUUUUAGCUUAAUGGGAAUGCAAAAUUAUUCCAAAAAUCAAGGAAUAGCUUAGGGGUUAAAAGAAAAUUAUGAAAGUAUGGAAAUUAAAUUAACCAAGUUCGGUUCCUUUCUCUUUUUAGGAAAAUUCCCCUUUUUCCGUUGUGUUAAGGUUCUAUGCACCACACUAUGGUGAAUUCGUUUUUUCAUGACUAAGAUUCUUUUGAGUUUGUGAUUGUUUUUUUUUAAUAGUGUUAUUUUCAUUAUUCGAAUUUGAGUCUUUUCGCUUAGAGGGUAACAAUUUUAUUAUUAUUGCAUUUAAGAUUUAUUAGUGUAAGAAAGACAUUUUUAAUAAAACACAUUUCUUAAAAUAUUAAUAAUUAUUGAUAGAGUGUACAACAAAGGGAGGAGAUAGAGUGAAGAUGAGGAAGAAUAAAGAAGAGUAUAUGGUAGUGUCAAGGAGAUCGGUCCAACUUAGGAGUUGGAGAGCUAGAAAUGGACAAGAGGAUAGGCUAAUUACUAGAAGGAGAGAUUACUCAAGACAAGUUCAAGGCUUAAGAAGGUGACCCUUUCUUCAUUAUUGAAAAGGUAUUUAUAGGAGAGAUUCUCAUAUACUGUAGUGCAAAGUGGCAGGCCGUUACUACUGACAGUGGACGCAUUAGCAUAGUGUAUGCGAGUAGCAAACGUGCUAAUCCCAAAUAAUAUGAGAUUGUUAUUCACUAGUAGGACCCGGUUGAUGUUUGAAAUGUGUUCACAAUUGAAUAAAUAUUUGUAUUCAAAAACUGGGUACCUAAUGAUAUAGGUUGUUGAGUGGGUGACUUCACUAAGGAAGCGGAUGGCUAAGGCCUUCUUCUAAAGGGAACAAAUGGUCAAGAGGUCUUGAUGACAAGGGGUAUACAGGUUGAUUUUGGUGGCUUAUUAUAUUGACAAGGGUCUAAGUGCCGAGAUAUAACAAUAAUGAUAUGUAUUUGUUUAUUAAAUUGAGCCUCUUUCUUCAAUUUAUCUCUAUUUAUUUGGUAAGGAAGUAUCAUAUGAAACAACAUAGAAACAAAAUCUCAAAAUUUUCCCAUUAGAUUCAAUCACAUUAGUCCUAUAAUAUCAUCUGGAAUCAAACAACAGUUUCUAGUAAUAAGCAAGAAAACAGACUGAAAAUGCGACCACAAAUCCAAUACUUUCAAUUGUUGUCAUCAGUAGUAGUGUUUGAUGUAGCAGAAAUGUGCAUUUUGAGCUUCUCUAACUCCAAUCUCAGCUUCUCAUUCUCUAACUCCAAUCUCAGCCUCUCAUUCUGGUGCAACAAUUGAUCUUCUUCGUUGAGCACUUGAAUCAAUUUCAAGUUCUGUUCCUUUUCACGCUCUAACUCCAAUCUCAGCCUCGCAUUCUCCUUCUCCAAUUCAUCUUCUCUGUCGAUCGUUUUAGCUCCAAGCUGGUUAAUUAUUUUCUUCACCUUCUCCUUUUGAUCAUCCAAACUAGUCAUCAAUGCCAUCAGUUCGUUCACCAUUGUUUCUGCAUUAACUUCAUUGCCUCGGCCACCUGCAGCCGGUUGUUGUUCUUCACCAUCAUCGUCACAUGGAAUCACCGCUUGUGUUGACUCCACGGGGAAUACAGGGUCAUGCACUUCAAACUCCUCGUCUUCAUUACCGUUCCCUUCAAUUAUCGUUGACAUCCGACGAUUAAGGAGCAGACCAGGCGCCCAGUCCCCAUUAGGAUCACAAUCCACACCUUCCUCAAGAAUCUUGCUUGCUGCCCUAAACCUUUCUUCAACACUAGGCAAUCCACGCAGCAAAUUCUCCGCAAGAAACUCCGAAGUACCAUUGCAACUCUCAAAGAAAGGAUGUUUCAAAAGCUCGUCUGCAGAGGGUCGGUUUGCAGGAUCUUUACGGAGACAAGAAGCAACCAUGUCUUGAAAAGUUUCUGAAAACUUCUUGGUGGAGUCAAGAGCAGUUAUACCGAAAGACCAUAUAUCAGCUUUGAAACUAUAAUCUUUAUGUGAAUGAAUCACCUCUGGGGCAAUCCAAUAUUGCGAAAAUGGCGAAGAACCUAAUCUGUAAACCGAACUCCACUUAUAGAACGAUGACGAAACGCCGAAAUCCGCAAGCUUAACACGUCCGUUAUCGUCCAACAAGAUGUUACUGGCCUUUAUAUCUCUAUGCAAAUGCCCUUGGCUGUGAAGAUACGACAAUGCAGUCAGGGUUUCUUUGAGAAUAAUGGCAAUGCAUUGCUCUUGUAUGCCAUUGGGGGAAGAAGAUGAGAUGAUGGACUCUAAAGAACCGCCGGACAUAAAGGGCAUAACCACCCAGAGACGGUUGCCGGCGGUGAAGGAACAAUGAAGGUUGAGGAUAUUGGGGUGGGAAAGAAGCGACGAGGUGUUGGUUUCACGUCCGACAAAGUUGCGGAAAUCGGCGUUGGACUGAUCAAGAUCGAUGGAUUUAAUGGCAACAACAGUUGAAUUGAUGGGAAGACAUUGGGCCGUAUAAGCUUUAGAACAAACACCAGCACCGAUUUCAGCGGUGAUGUUGUAAGAGUUGGAAUCUAAAGGGAACUGAAGCUUGGGAUGAUCUUCUUGUUCAUACGCCAUGAGCUUCUUUCUUUCUUUGAGAUUGGGUUUUGUGGGAGGAUUCUUGAAGACUAUAGAUGAGGGAAAGAGAAGGGGUUUUAGAAAGCUUUUCUUGUAAGGUUUUCAAAAGAAAGAAGCCAAUUUACAAUUGCUUGAAAAUUUACGAUUGCUCCAUCCUUAUAUCUAUAAUCUUUGAAGUAAUAAAAAAUUCCAUUGAUUUUUUAAAAUAAUUAUAAAUAAUUUUAAAAUGUGAAAAAAUAUAUUAUAGUAGUUAUAUUAAAAUAAAAGUUGUGAUAUUGUAAACUUAUUUGAAUUUCUAUUUUAAUUUCAGGAUUAAAUUGAACUUCGGUUUGAUAAUAGGAAUUAAUUUGAAUUUUCAUCUUUUAAGUGAGGGACUAAUUAUGUAAUUAAAUAUUUUAUUUUAAAGUUUAGUUAAAUUAGUUUUGUAUGUUGGUAGUUUUAUUAUUAUUAUUAUUAUUAUUUAAAAUAAGAUUUUAUGUUAUUAAAUUUUCUAAAGAUAAUUAUUAGUAAAGGAUGAUUAUAAUUAUUAGAAUUAUACUAGGACUGUAAUACCCCGAUCCGAAGUGAUCUAGUAAAUUAUUUUUUUUAUUUGAGUUGAUUUAUAUGAAAAUCAUUCAUUUUUUUUUAGAAAAAUAUUCAUUAAUGAAACGACUUUACUUAGUAAUCCAAUUACAAUGUUAUUAAAAUGAAGUUUUUUGAGAAAACAGUUAAGGUUUAAUAAGACUUAUCAAAACUUUAAAUAUUUUACAAAGUAUACAUUUAUCAGAGUAUUAACAAAAUAUAAUGCUUAAAGAUUACUAAGCUAAAUAAUCCCAAACCACAAUUAUAAAAGCAUUAAAUAAUUAAUAAAUUUACAAUAUGUUGUUUCUUUCUGGAUUAAACCAUAAUUCCUAAUGUUUCAAUUUAAUUAAUCAUACAUAAUAAUUAAAUUAGAUCCCACACCUGAUUGAAAACAAAAAAAAAACUCAAUUUUUGGAUGAAGAAAUCAGAAAUCACCGGGAGGAAAGGGUUGCAAUUGAAAACCUCGAAACCUUGGGUUGAUUAAGGUGGUUCGACAAUAGAGAAGAAUAAGAGAGAAUUUUGAGAGCUUUUCUUGAUUUUUUUUCUAAAUAUGAGUUCUAGGUUUUGAAAAGAUUGACUAUUUAUAAAACUUUCUUUCCCUAAUUGAAAUAGAUUUAGGAAUUCAUUUAGAAUUAGGAUUUGCCUAAGGACUAAAUUUAAAAAAAUGGUUUUUGGUCUAGACUAGUUUGAAAAUUCGAUACUUUAUGAGGGUAAAAAUAAGAAAAUAAAAUUUUUUGACUGAAAAGUGCACAAGAAGUUUUGAUCUUGGGAUCAAAGGGAAAAUUAAGUCUUAACCAUUGAAUCAACGAGCUCAUUUUUAUCAUAAGUCUUCAAGAAAUUGUUUUUAAAGGCUAUGGCCAAGCAUUAGGGGAAAUGGAAAAAAAUCAACAAAAGAGUGCAAUUUAACAAGUUUGAACCUUGGACCUUAGCUUGCCUAACACCUUACCAUUAAGCCUAGUGGCCUAUUCCUAUUAAUACCUUAUCAACAAUAAUUUUUAAGGCAUUUUAAGUUCAUUUACCCUACUUAUUUUAUGCUUUAAAAUCUAAAAUUUAUCCUCAUUUCUUCUAUCCCUAAUUUUGGGAUGUGACAAAUCUCCCUCCUUUAAAAAAGUUCGUCCUUGAAUUUUAACUUACCUGAUCCGAAACAGUAAGGGUAUUGUUGACGAAUCAACUCCUUAGGUUCCCAUAUUGCUUCUUUGGUUCAAUGGUUUUGCCCUAAAAUCUUAACUAGAGGAAUUUGCUUAUUUCUUAGAGUUCUAACCUCACUAUCUAUUAUUCUAAUUGGUUCUUCUUCAAAAGAUAAGUCUGGUCGGAGCUUGACCUCUUCAAUGGGAACGAUAUGGGAAGGAUCAGAGCGAUAGCGUCGUAACAUGGACUCAUGGAACAUAUUGCGAAUUUGAUUUGACUCAGGAGGUAGUUCAAGUUGGUAAGUUACUGGGCCAAUUCGCUUCUGUACUUGGUAAGGACAAAUAAAACAAAGACUCAAUUUUUUUCCGAACUUUAGAAAAUUUUCUAAGGUAGACCUUUAAGAGGAGCUUGUGAUGACAUCGACAACAUCCUUAUCCUUUUGCCACAUGAACUAAAGCUAGUUGCCUCACUUUUGCACGAUUCGUACCUUGCCUUAGCGCUCUGUGGCCUCAAUUUUCAUCGUUUCGAUUGGGAUCACUAUUUCCUUAUUUUUGGGAUCGAUUUUGGCCCUAACUUUGUGGUUGAGUGGGAUUGUUCCAAUGAGGACAAUCCUUUAUUUGAUGUUCCUUUGAUCCGCACUUUAGACAAGCAUCGAUCUUUUUUCAACACUCACCUUUGUGGUGUUUCUCACAAUAUUGGCACUUUGGAGCAUGUUUGUCGGUGGACUUGAAUUGCGGCCUAGCACUUUUUAUAGGCAUGUGGUCCAAAUUAUUUGAACUCAAAUCUCUUUGGUUUAGUGCCUCUUGCCUCUUUUCUCGCUUUGUGCGUUUAAUUGCUUCUAAAAUUUUGGUCUUUUCGACCAAAUUUUCGAAAAUUCUUUCCUAGAGGAGUACCGUCUGUACUUUUAGGUCAAAUUGUCGAACCUUGUGCUUUUAUCUUGCUUUGUCGCUACCAUUUCAGGAGUAUAAUGAAUCAAUCUUAGAAAUUCAACUUCGUACUCUAAAAUUAACAUAUCUCCAUGUUUCAAUUCGAUGAAUUCAUGUCUAUAGGGCUUCAACAUAUCGGGGACCUACAUACUUUUUCUGGAAAGCAUCUUGGAAAUAGUUCCAAGAUAUUCAUUCCACAAGCAUUCAUCUAACAAUAGCCUGCCACCAUCUAUAGGCUUUGUCCUUUAAUAAGGACACGACUCAUUUUAACUUUUGCUCCGGAGUGCAGUCUGGAUCCUCUAGAAUUCUUUACAUUGUUUCCAUCUAAUACUUUACUAUAGUGGGACUUGUUCCGGUGAAUCUUUUGGACAAUUCAACCCCAUUUACCUUAAGUUUUUUUUAACAACCGUCUUUAUGUUACCAUUAGUCGAUCCGACGACCUUUUGAGGGACUUUCAGCAUAGAUUGAGACACCGCAUCAUCUCCAUUGGUUCCAUCAUUUUGAUUUCUCGUUCCAUAUCUCCAUUCUCAUGACCUCCACCAUCAUUGGCAGUAGAAUUUUCUAUCUAAUCCACCCUAUAGGUUGGGUUUUCACCUUGAAUAGUGGGCAGUUUAAGGGUGCAACGUUACACGGUCUACACCUACCGCGUCUACCUUGAGUGUUCAUAAUGGUAUUUUAUGAAAAUCUAAAAUUUCAAGCAAUUAAUACUUAAGUCAAGUUUUUAGUUUACACUAUAUUUUUUCCUAAGGUUUUUUUACCACUUGAAAGUUUUCUAUAGUAUCUGGAAUCGAACUUCUUGGACUAGUUUUUUUAAUAAAAACCUACUGUGGCUUUUUUUCUAAAUUUUCCCUAUCAUAAAAAUGAUUUAUUUCUAUGCAUGCAUACUCCUUCAAAAAGUAACAUCGUUAAUGAGGUGUCAUGCACAUAGAAAACAGUACCUUUAGAGGUUUUGUCUCAAGGUCGAAUAAAUUGUAAUUAAAUAGUUUCCUUAGAGUUUGAAUUUGGAGAUAGUAAGUUUUUAUAUUAAGGUUUCUAUUCUAAGAAGUAUUUAUUAAUGCUUAAUAAAGUUAGUCUUUAAAGUUGUUAAGUUAAAAUUUUGUGUUUAGUCUAACCCGGUCCAUUUGUGAUACCUCGUACCAGGAUUUCACGAUCGGGUCGAGUGAGGGUGUUACAUUAAUACUAAAAUAUAGGUUGUAAUAUGAGGAGCAACUUUGGUUAUUCAAGUCUACCCAAAUCAUUGUUUGUGGAGAAAGUGAUUUUAACUUAAAUUUAAAUAUUUUGAUCCAAUUUUAAUAUAGAAAUGAAUUAUAAAAGCUAUCAUAAUUCAAAUCUAUGUAUAAAGUUAAUGUAAUAAAAUUUAUAAUUAAGCUACAAUAGAAAGUAGAAAAUUCCUCAGACAGAUUUUAAAAAAUCAUUUAGAGGAUAUUAUAUAUUCUAUUUUUUUUAACAUAAUUUGACUGUGAAGGAGAAUAAUGUGAAACCUAAACAAACCUUUGAAUUUCACAUCAUGCAAAUAUUUGUUUUUACGUAAAGUAUUUAUGGUAAAAGGAGAUACUAAUAUCAAAUGGUUGUGAAUACAAAUGUUAUCAUCCAACUCUAAUUUAAUUGGGAUUUAUAUUAAAAGGGAAAGAAUAGAUCGAUUUUACUUACUUCUUAGUCUCUUGGACUGGUGUCACUACGAGUUCCACACCAUCUUGCUGGGUGAAUUCACUACAAAGUCCUAAACUUUAAGAUGUUCUAAUUGAGUUAUCUAUGUAUUAGAAUAGUUUAAAUCUAGUUUCUUUUUUGUCAAUCUACUCAUCAACUUUGACUUUGAAUGUCAGUUUAACAUGAAACAUAUUUAAAACAUGUGAAUUACAUUAUUGAUACAUAUAUACUCAUCACGUGGCAAGCUUAUAUCUAAUAUGUUAAAAGAAAACAUUGCCAAUAAAAUUAAGGAAGACUUUUAAAGACCAAAUAUAAGCUAGGCUAACAGGAUGAUUUGAUUCAUAUAAUAUUGAUACUUCGAGGUGAGGAUGAAGCUAGAAACUUAGGUUUUUUUUUUUGGAGGGGAAUUAAAAAUUAGUUACUUUAAUUAUAAAUUUGCACAUUAAUUUCUACUUAUCUCAUCAUUAAUUAAAAAUUAACUAUUUAAGUAUUUAUACAUAUUUGACUCAUACAUCAUUAUUUUUAGGCUUAAGGCUGCAAAAAGACCCUCAAAUUUAAAAAAAAAAAUUAAGCCCCUACUUUUUUUUUCACUCAUUUGGGUACUUGAACUUUCAAAAUGCAUCAAAAAGACCCUCAAACUUUUUCAAAAAAAGCAAUUAAGCCCAUGCUUUUAUUUAAAAAAAUAAAAAAAAUUAUAAAAAAUUAAAAUCAAUAAUAGAUAUAAAUAUUAUUAAAUUUUAAUAAAAUAUUAAAAUAUUAAAAAUUAGAAAAAAAAUAUAAAAAUCGUAAAAAAUAUAAAAAAUUGUAAAAUUUUAUAAAGAUUGUAAAAAAUAUAAAAAAUAGAAGUAUAAAAAAUUAUAAAAUUUUAUAAAGUCAUAAGAAAAUUAUACUAAAUUUAAAGAAAUAUAAAUUUCAUAAAAAAAUUUAUAAAAAUUAUUGUACCAAAAAAAACAUUUUAUAAUUUUUCUAUAGCAUUGAUUUUUAUUUUUUAUCAUUCACCACAUGUUACGCUGUGUUGCGACAUGUGAUGACUUUAAUUGAAAAACUAGAGGUUGUUAACUGUAAUGAUUAACAAUUAAAGUUAAUUGUUAAAGGGACUUUUUGAUGCAUUUUUUAUUUUUAUAAAAUUUUACAAUUUUUUUAUUUUUUAUGAUUUUAUAAAGUUUUUUUUUUCUAAUUUUUAGUAAAUUUUAAAUAUUUUUACAUUUUUAUUAAAAUUUAAUAAUUUUUAUAAAACUUAUUAUUUAUUAUUAUUUAUAAUUUUUUUCUAAUUUUUAAUAAGAGCAUGGGCUUAAUUGCUUUUUUAAAAAAAUUUGAAGGUUUUUUUUUGAUGCAUUUUGAAAGUUCAAGUACCCAAUUGAGUGGGAAAAAAAGCAGGGCUUAAUUGCUUUUUUUUUUUGAAGAAGAAGUUUGAGAGCCUUUUUGAUGUAUUUUAAAAAUUUAAGUACUCAAUUGAAUUAAAAAAACGGAAAAGCUUAAUUGUUUUUUUCUUUUUAAGUUUAAAGGUUUUUUACCCCUUAAACCUUAUUUUUAUUAUAUUUACCUAAGUUUCAUAUUACCAACAAUCUUCCUCUUAGAUCAUGUAUAUACUAUUCUUUUACUCAUGCAAUGCUUCGGUUUGGAUGUAUGUAUUAACUGAAAAAGUAUGUCUUUUGUUCAUACUCUAUAUUAAUUAAAUUAAGAUUUUAUAUUAAUUUAAAUAUGAAAUUAAUAAAAACAACCUAUUUUUUUAUAUUAAAAUAUAUAAACCACAUAUUUAAAUUAAUCAAUAACCUUAAAAUGAAAAAUUAUAAAAAAAGUGUGAAUUAAAUAAAUGAAUAAAAUUGUUUGGACGCCAUUAUCACCCCAAAAAAAAGUAUUAACUGGUGGUGUAAACACCAAUUCUUUGGCAAAAAGUAUUUAUAUAAAAAAAUUAAGAAAGUUAAUAGAAAGAUCAAAAUUUUAAUUGUUUUGAGUUAUUAAAUUGGAAAAUAAAUCAGUAAUACAUGUUAAAAUUCUUUAUAAAAUAUUAAUAUUUAUUUGUUUAUUGACACAAAUUUCAAAAUAAUUACUAAAUUAGUAGUACAUAUGAAAAUUUGUUUAAAAUUAUUAUUAUUUAUUUAAACAAUUUGGAAAAAUUUUAUUUUAAAAAUGGGUCCUACUUUCUAUAAUAGUAAAAAAGAAGUGAAGAUGGCAUGUAGUCAACACUAACACUUUUUAGAAUUCAACUCAUCACAAAAUAAUGUUUUCUAUAGUUAAAAUUUGCUAUUAAUCCCUAUAUUUAGUAAAAAUUAUGGAUUUAAUCUUUAUACUUUAUUUGUUAUUUUUAGUCUUUAUACUUUUUAAAAUUUAAAAUUUUAGUCAUCACCAAACAAUAUGUAAUAUCAUAUCAAUUUAUUAUUUUCACAUAUUACUCAUUAAGAAUCUAGUUAAUGGAUUACCAACUAUUAUUUGUGUUAAGACUGAAAUUUCAAAAUUCGAAAAGUAUAGAGACUUAAAGUUAUUCAAUUGGAGAAAAUGAACUAAAUCUAUAAUUAUAUACAUGGCAUAGGAUUAUAGUAUAGGAUUAGUAAUUGAAUUUGACCAAACAAAUUUAACUGCUAUUGUUUGGUUGGGAAUAAAUUUUUAAAUUUUGAAAAGUACAGAUGAUAAUAAUAUUUACCAAUUUGAAAAGUAUAAAGACUAAAAUUGAUUAAAUAAAAGUAUAUAAAUUAAAUCUACAACUUUCACAAAGUAUAGACCUUCCUGAAAAUCUUACUUCAAAUAAUGUGUGUUGAUUUCCUAAAACAAUAUAUAUGUGUACACUUAUCACAACUAUUAUUCUAUUAACUACAGACAUGUAUGCAAUUUCAAAACUAAAAUGAUGACAAAUAUUGAAAUAAAUACUUAAAAGAAAAACUAUUGGCUGAUAAAAUUUUAGAAGAAAAGAAGUUAAAAAGGGAGAAGAAUUAUGAUGCGUUGUAAAAUUAUCUAAAAUUUUUACUAAAACAAGUGCAUCUAUCAAUUAAUAGUAUAGUUACGGUAAGCAAAUAUAUCAUUCCCACGAACACUAAAAGUACUAGUAAUUACCAUCUUUCUAUUAUUUAACAGAAUAAUUCAAGUGAUUGAAUAAAAACUAAAAUUAACUAAAGAACAUGACAAAGAACAAAACACGAAAAUAAUCUAUUAACAACCAAGAAGCGGAACAAUACUCAGGAAAGAAUCCACCUAGAUUUCAUCUAUCACUAUCAAUCUAAAUUACACAAUUUCUUUACUUAGUACCUUGAUCCGUAGAAAUCCCUAAAUUAUGCUAAUAUCUCUUUCAAGCAUGAGAGCAAUUGACUUUAGGUUAAUUAAUUAAAAUUUCUUUCUAAUUAAAACCCUUAUUAUCGCAUUAACUCGUGCUAUGAAUUCCCUUAUUAGAUUUGACUCUAAUCCAAUAGAUUUAUAUCAUCCUAUUUCUAGGAUUACAUGCACUCCACUCAAUUACGCAAAUUCUACUCUUAAAUAAGGAUUACUAAUCUAGAGAUAUCAAACCAAGAAUUAAACACACAUAACUGAGAAAAAGAAACUAAGUAUUUAUUGCAUAAAAUAAAAAUCAAAUGACAGGAUACAUCAUAGGGUUCAUCUACCUUAGGUAUUUAGAAAAUUAGUUCAUGCUUGAAAAUAGAAACAUCCAAGAUACAAUAUAACCGAAAGAAAUAAAGAAACUCGAGAUAACUUCCUAAUAAAUCAACUGAGAAUCUUUAAUCUUAACGGAAAUCUGCUUCAAAGUUGGCUUCAAUGGUGUUUUUUGAGUUGUUUUCUUGAAUAUUCUCUAACGGCUCAGUCUUAUAUUAUUAUUUUUGUCAUAUAUAUAUUUUAGAAUGCCGAAAACCUAAAAAACACGAUUUUUUGCAAUUCAAUGUGUAAUCUUGUGAAAUCGACUAGGCCGUGUGGAAUGGAUCAGCCUGCGUAGCUCCUACAACUUUCUUUGAUGCUCCAGUUUUCGCUCAUUUUUCACUCCUUAUGUUCCUAAGUGCUUUAUUAAGCAUUAAAACAUGAAUUGAAAGUAUUAGAGGUAUAAUAUUCACAAUUAACAUCAUAUAAUCACCAAAAAAUGCAUUAAGAAUGAGGUUAAAACAUGUUACUUUUAGCAAUUAUCAAAUAUCCUCACACUUAGGCAUUUGCUUGUCCUCAAGCAAAAUUGUAAAUCCAUAUUCAAGUUAGCUUCGCUAAAUUUAUUGUUCCCACCGAUAAUGUCUUAGGAUAAUCUACAGGUAAUCAUGCAUUGGAAAUUUAAACAAAAAUGACACUAAAGAACACAAGCAAUCCAAGUAGAGAUUUUUAAAGCAUAAAAACAUAGACGUCUCACCUAUCUCAAUAAUUAGUCGAAAUUCAUACUUUAUAGGAAUGAACACCCUUACGAAGGUUCAGUCAAAGCACUAAAAGUGUUUAAGGUUCAAGUAAUAUGCACUUAAGUGUCGAGUAAGAAAUGUUAUUACCAUAAGCUUGGUUGAAAAUCAUAUCUACACCACCAUAGAAAUGAGAUGACACACUAAUCAAGAGGUUUUUACGAGGUUGUAAUAGGACUUAGGUUAAGGGUAUGGAAAAAGGUCAGAAUAAUUGGUUACAAUCGAGAGUCGAGUUGAUCUGUUACCAAAUAAAAAAGAUCAGUUGUUGAAUUACAAGAAUUUAACAUAAAAAAAAAAGAAAUAAAGAGUGGAUAUGAGCUUUUAUACAAAAUAUGCGACUCAUGAUUCAGGCUCAAAAUUUUUUUUCUUUUCUACUUCAUUUUUUUUCACUAAUUUUUUUUAUUUGAGAACAAAGAGAAAAUUUAGUAAUGUAAAUGAUAAAACAUAAUCAGUCAACUAACCAAAUCAAAUCUCAACAAAAAAAAAGAGUAAAUAAAAAGAGUGAUUUACAACCUUAAUGUGGGUUUUCGGGUUAACAUGAAUGGUUGUUGAGUAAAAAAAAUGUGUUAGGAUCAAUUAGGUUCCUAGGGGUUAAUUCAACGGGUAAGUUGUGUAAAAGGUUAAACAUGUUAAAUCCUAAGUGUCUCUAUCAUCUCAGUAUAUCAAAUCAAUAAUGUGGAUUUGAUAUGUAUAACUGAAUCAAGUUCUAGAAUAACAAAUUAAGUUGUCAUACUCAACAAAAAAUAAAAUGAGCAUGAAAAACAAUAUAUGCUCUAUAGGUUCAAAAGCUCACAAAAAAUUAUGGUUUUGAUGUCAAACUUGUAAAUUUAAAAUUUCAAGAUAAUUCUUAAAUUAAGGGAGACAACCUAAAAUAAUAGUUUUUGAAAAACAACUUAUCAUGCUUGGUUCAUUCGUAUAUUAAUGUCUAAAUAAAACAAUGCAUAAAAAAACACAAAUUAAUCCCAAACAGAAUCAAUAAAAACGCCAAAUUAAAAAAAAAUUAACUUUAAUGUAAGGUUUGAGGAAAUUACUUAAAGACAAACAACAAUUUAGGGGAUAUAUCACAUAAACAUGUAAAAUCCUCCCCACACUUAAGAUGUACAUUUUUCUUAAUGUACAAACAAAUAUAAACACAAUAAGAAAAAUAUCAUAAGUUAGGGAGGGAGAGACUGAAAUUGCCAUUUGGACGAUUAUGCUAGAAUAGAGAAAUACAAAAAUGUAAGAGAUCCUAAAUUAAGUACAUGGUUUCGAGCACACUAAUAAGAAAAUAGAAAUAAAAUAAAAUAAGAUACAAAUAUAACAAAAUAGAAAAACAGUCGAAAAAGCCAUAAUAGUAAAGUGCAUAGUAAAAUAAAAUAAAACAUCUAAGUCUGAAAAACAAAAUAAAAACAACUAAAAAGAAAAAGGAAAAGAAAAAUAAAUAAAACAUAAAAUAAAAAAAGUCACUGAUUGGCAUCAUGUACGAAAUUAGGAUCGAGAGGCACAUAUACAACAAGGAUAUCUGGUGAAGAAAUGUGAACAUGUUGGCACAUCUAUUGUAGAGAGGCCCCAAUGCAAUCUUAUUGGCAUUGAAGCUGACUGAAGUGAUUUGAAUGUAGCUGCUCAAGGUGGUCGAUUCACUUUAUCUACCUCUACUCAAGGCGAUCGUUGAUGUUAGAGUGUUGUUGUUGUGUGCGAAAGAUGUCCUCAAGCGUGAUCAAAUGUACAGUAGUGGAGUGACUCACAAGAGGAGUCGAUCGAGCUGGGUCCACAUGUCUAAGUGGAUCAUCAUCCGGGAGAUCCACAUGCUCAUUCUGAGGAUCCGGAUGAAACAAUGUAUACCGGUUUGGACCUACUCUGUGCUAAUGUUAAAUCAUCGGUAUGUGGCUCAUAAUAGAUAAUCCUUACAGGACCAUUUGUCCAAUUAAAGUGAAGGAUAAAGUUGCUCCAGAGUGUCAAGAAGCUCGAAGUACCUCGCCAGACAAGUCAUGUAGGGAUCCAUACAGAUAAGGCUUUUCCUAUUCUAAUCAGACUGGCGGUGACAACAGAGAGCCACACAGUAAGAGACAUCAAUUAGGUGGCGUGUCACCAUACUCCACAGAAAAUAGGCAUUGACAUGUUGGGAAAUGUGCUCAUAUUGUAGUAAACAUGUAAUUUUUUUUAUAUAUUUGAAUAAUGAAUAAAUAAAUUUCACAUUUCAUGUUAUGUCUUUUGUAUUUAUGUUUUUCAUAUUUUGCAUGCAUAACAAAAUUGUAACAAGCAAAUAUUAGGUCACUGAUUGUCUAAGUUCAAAUUGGUGAUAACUGGCAUUGUAAAAAUGUUUACAUUGUGAGAAAGACAACUUACUUCAAUAGAUAAUCUAAACGAGCCCGUAAUCUCGUAAAAGAAUCAAAGUGAGCAUUUGAUUUAAACCCUGAGAAGGAUUAUUAUGUCAUCUACAAUUCCAAUUGAGGAGAUGACUAGCCUUGGCUAUCGGAGCAGUUGACUCCACGGGUAGAGACAUAGAUGUAUUCAUUGGCAAAAUGAUACAUGGGACUGGACCCAAGAUGAAUUAAUUCUAAAUCUGUUUGUGAAUUAAUUCACUUGUGACAUUCAUGGUGUGAUUUACCUUAAUCUUGAGUUAGUCACUGACCAUGCGUAUGUAAUUAAUGUGCUUUGAUAUAAUUGGAGGCUUAUGCUCUAAAGAUGAUCGGGCUGAUAGUCGGUAUGUUGGGUACUUAACUUGUAUAUAGCAUGGCUUUACUUGCAACAGUGGAAUUUAUAGCUCAACUAAAGAGUUAACAAUAUCCUCUAAUUGGCGUUGUGUGGAUUGAUAAAUAUAUAACGUGACCACGAGUUUCUUAUUCUCGAACGAGCAAUUUAUCAUAAUCAUUUGUUGACAGUGGUCAAAUUAAUCAUUAAGAUGACACAAUGGUGACAAUGAGAUAAAAUAAGAUUGUAUUGAGUGAACAGGUUUAACUCAAAGGAAUCAAGAAUAUCAUAUGUCAUUGGACAAAACAGUUGGAUGAAUUACUUUCGUAAAGAGUAUACAAUAACGAGUUUUCAACCAUGGUGCUUCUUGUGGACUAACUCAAUGAUUAAGCAAUUGCGAAUUAUCAGAAUGAUGCUUCUGGACAUGAUUACAAUUACUAAAGCAUAAUUGUAUAUGUCCGAUUGGUCCCUCCGCUAGCUCAACAAAAGCUCGAUCGAACUGCAUUUGAAUUAGAAGUAAAUUUUACGACUUUGGAAAUAGUUUAAUUGAGUCGAUUUAUUUCAUAUGAAAUUAAAUUGGGCGAUCGUAAGAAUUGUUCAACUAGAGAAUUUGAUUACAGAAUUUUCUUGAAAAAAUAAUUUGGAAAAUCUAAGUGAUUUUUGAGAAAACUAAUUUUGAUCAAGUAAAAUUAAAUUAAUCAAAUUGAUUAAAAUCAAUAUGAUAUUUCUGUAAAUUAAUUUUCAAGUCGAACAAUUGGCUCAAUGGGUAAUUGAACUUGAAAUUGGACCUGAGAUACUAAGAUCAAAAAAUUGGUUGAAUUAGGCCUGGUAUGUGAAAUCGGGCCAACGGUCCAACCGGUGGCUAGACCGAAACGAUCGGGUCGUCAUUGGCCCAGACCGAACCGACAAAAUCAAACUAGCUUAAGGUGUCGGGAUGCGACGACAGUAUUCAUUUCUGUAUAAUAUGGUUCAAACAUUUUACUGACAAUGAUUAAUUUCUGCAAAAAGCAACAGGUUUUAAUUAACAAACUGUGUUUUUAAAUAAAAACAUCUCUCUAAGGGUUUCCGCUGCAAAACCAUAAGUUUUAGAAAAUAUAAUCAAACAUCGCUUUCAAAUUAAUAGUUAGAUAAAAUAUGUUUUGAAUAAUCUGGAAUUUUAAGAGUUUGUGAUGAGUUUCAAGAUACACGAAAAUGAAGUUUUCAAUCAUUUAAUGUAACAACUCAAGAUUUGACCAUAAUGUCUAGGCCGAGUUUGGGGUGUUACACUCCAAAUCGAGUGCCAAAUGACAUGCCUUUCCAAAAACUAACCUAUAGGGAGUCAUUCCUAAUGGUGUCUUUAAAGUAGUUCGAUAGGCCCAUAAAGCCUCAUCGAGCCUUUUAGACCAAUCUUUUCUAUUAAGGCGCACCACCCUAUUAAGGAUACAUUUGAUUUCACAAUUCACCCUUUCAACUUGCCCAUUUGACUGUGGAUGAUAAGCAGUAGCAAUUUUAUGCUUCACAUUGUACUUGUCAAGACACCACUUAAGCCACUUAUUUAGAAAGUGAGAUCCUUUAUUGCUAAUUAUAGCUCUAGGAGUCCCAAACCAUGUAAAUACAUGCUUAUGUAGGAAUUGCAUGACUACCUUAGCAUCAUUUGUUGGGUAUGCCUUGGCUUCAACCCACUUGGAUAUGUAGUCCACAGCUACCAAAAUAUAUUUGUUCCUAUAAGAGGAAGGAAACAGGCCUAGAAAAUCAAUGGCCCAUACGUCAAAUAGUUCUACCUCUAAAAUAUUUGUCAAGGGCAUCUCAUUCCUCCUUGAUAUGUUUUCGAUUCUUUGGCAUCUAUCGCAGUUUUUCACAUACGCAUAUGCAUCCUUAAACAUUGGAGGCCAAAAGAAUCCUACUUGUACAAUCUUCACUGCUGUACGAGAACCACCAAAGUAUCCCCCACUCGGAUAUGAAUGCCAGUGGUACAAAAUCUCGUUGAUUUCACUUUCAGCUACGCAUUUUUUUGAUUAUGUUAUCUACUCAUUAUUUAAACAAAAACAAAUCCUUUCAAAAAUAAUACCAACUAUCAUGAAGGAAUUUUUUCCUUUUUUGGUACGUCAUUUCUCGAGGAAUUAUUUCAUAUGCUAAAUAAUUGGCAAAAUCAUCAAACCAAGGUGUUCUAUGGAUUUGACUUACCUCGAAGAUAUGCUUAUCAGGAAAAUUCUCAUUAAUUGGAACAAGUGAAGAAGUUACAACAUAUUAUUCCAACCUCGAUAAAUGAUUGGUUACUUGAUUUUUAACACCUUUUUUGUCUUGGAUCUCAAGGUCAAAUUCUUGGUGCAAAAGUAUCCAUCGAAUUAGCCUUGGUUUAUCAUCUUUUUUCGUGAGUAAGUACUUAAUGGAAGCAUGAUCGAUAAACACUAUAACUUUGGUACCUAUAAGAUAUGAACGAAACUUGUCAAAAGAAAAAACUAUAGCAAAUAUUUUUUUCUCAGUUAUUGUAUAAUUGAGUUGGGCUUUUGUCAAAGUUCUACUUGCAUAGUAGAUAGGGUGAAACACUUUGUUUCUUCUUUGACCCAUCACAGCUCCAAUAGCGAAAUUGCUUGCAUCACACAUCAACUCAAAAGGUGAAUUCUAAUAAGAUGUAAAAAUUAUUAGAGAUGAGAUUAAUUGGAUUUUUAAAUCUUCAAAAGCUUCUAAACAUGCUUUGUUAAAAUAAAAACAAUAUCUUUUUUUUAAAGUAUACACAAAUGUUUAGAAAUUUUUUAGAAAUCUUUGAUAAACUUACGAUAAAAACCAGCAUGGCCUAAGAAACUUCUAACUCCUUUCACACUAAUUGGAGGUGGUAAUCUUUCAAUUACGCCCACCUUUGCUUUAUCCACUUGAAUCUUGUUUUUGGAAAUCUUAUUUCCUAAGACAAUUCCCUCAUUAACCAUAAAAUGACAUUUCCUCCAAUUAAGGACAAGAUUUGUCUCCUCGCAUCUUUUAAGUACCUUAGCCAAAUUAUUCAAACAAACAUCAUAAGUGUUACCAAAAAUAGAAAAAUCAUCCAUGAAAACCUCAAAAAAAAUUUCAACCAUAUUAGUGAAAAUUGCCAUAAUAUAUCGCUGAAAUGUGGCAAGUGCAUUACAUAAGCCGAAAGGCAUUUGCCUAAAAGCGAAUGUACCAUAUGGGCAAGUAAAAGUAGUUUUAUGUUGGUCUUCUUGGGGCUACAACUAUUUGGUUGUAUCUCGAAUAUCCAUCUAAAAAGCAAUAGAAUUUAUUACCUUUCAGUCGAUCUAACAUCUAAUCCAUAAAAGGUAACAAAAAAUUAUCCUUACGAAUGGCUUUGUUCAAUUUUCUAUAAUCAAUAUAGAUUCUCCAACCUAUGAUAGUUCUCAUUGGGAUUAGCUCGUUGCAUUUAUUUUUGAAAAUCGUGAUCCCACCUUUCUUUGAUAUACAUUGUACUGGGCUUACCUAAGAACUAUCUGAGAUGGGGUAGAUAAUUCCUUCACCUAACCAUUUGAUCACUUUCUUCUGUACUACCUCUUUCAUGAUAGGGUUAAGUCUCCUUUGCCCAUCAAUUCUACCUCGUUUACCUUCCUCUAAAAUAAUCUUAUGCAUACAGAAGGAAGGGCUUAUACCUUAUAUGUCAACUAUGGUCCAAUCAAUUGCCUUUUUAAAUUUCUUUAAAAUAACAACUAGUUGCUCUUCUUAGUGUUGCGUCAAUUCUACAGAAACAAUCACAGGCAAAGUAGAACAGUUGUCACGCCCCAAAAUUAGGCUUAGGAGUUUUAGGGGUAUUCUAGGAAUUUUGGCUUAGAUGAGUUUAGAAUUUGAUAAGAUAGGUAAUCAAUUAAGUUUUCGACAACGGUUUACAUAAAACUUAAGUCAAUUCCUAAAACCAAGUUUAAAAUGUCUUCGAUUUAGUAAAUAGGUUUGAUUCAUAAAUGUGUCAAAACUGGGAGUCUUUAUGAAGCAAAUAGACCAGAAUUUUAAAAUCAACACAAUAAACCCCAAUUUUAGUUUGCUUUCACGUUAAAAUUUUUUCUUCUUUUUGCUUGUGUCAUUUUUGCUCACCUCUUGCUCUUCUAAGUGAUUUUGAACUUUGAUUCUUAAAUCUCCUUCAUUUCCAUUACCUUUGAACUUUAAACCUCUAUUAAAACCAAGUAAAUCACCCAAAAACUACAUCUUCAUCUUCAUCUUCUCCAAAACGUGGAUUUUUAGGUUGUGUCAAAAUCACCAUUUUUCUACAUUCGAGGUAAUUAAUCAUGUUUCUAUUGGUUUUAAAUUUUAUUUAGUUCUUUAAAUCAAAUUAUUAGCUUGUAAAAUGCAUGGUUUAGGUAAAAGCCAAAAUUAUGGUUAUUAGUGGUGGAUUUUGGGUUUUUUGAUAAAAGCUUGAUUUUAAAGUGUUUUUCAACUUGUUUUAGCAUAAUUAGAAGCUUUCUAAAGAUACUUUGAAGUUUUGUUACGAAAUUCUUAAGUUUUAAUGAAUUCGUGUUCUAAAGGCUAAAACUUGUCGAAAUAUUUUGAUACCUUAAAACAUGUGGUUUUGGGUAGUUUAAAGGUUGGGAAUUAGUCGUAAAUGAACAUGUAGGUGAACAGAAUCCAUUUCGUGCAAAAAUAUUAAGUGAAGGUCGAGAUAUUCGAAUCUAAAGUUUCUAUGUUAAAAGUUAAGGUAGUUGAGGCUUAUGUUUGUGACUGUUUUAAUGAGUUGAUGGUUGUUUGGUUGAUGGUGUAUUUGUAUGGUUUUCCUUCUUGAAGCGUUGAAGUUAGUAGGACCUUCAACGAGUAGAUAUAAAGGCAAGAAAAAGCUUACCUAAGCUUUCAAUUUUCGAAAAAAGCAUGUAAUUUGGUGAGUUUUUUGGAAUAAUCACUCACAAGCAAAUCGAUUUGUAUUUCAGAAUUUAGAAGUAGCCUAAACAUCUACUAUAAAUUCCAAGUGUAAGUGUUCUCACAUUUAUUACUGAAUGGGUUGUAUGUAUGUUAUAGAAAUUGAGGUCGUUGACUUAUGCAUAUAAAUGUAAUGCUAGAAUAUAUGCCAUGAACAUGAGAUGACAGUUGUAUAUGUGAUUAUGAGGGCAUGUUAAACAUGCCAUGUGAUAGAGUUUAUAAAGUAAAAUGAAUGUGUAUGUGCAAUGAAAAUGUGCAGAAAAAUCAAUACGUAAUUGUGUUUUUUAUUAUAGAUAUUUUGACCUUAUGAUUUAAUAAGACUGUUGGAUAUAGUUCGCAUGCCAUAGGAUUAUGAGUAUUCAUUUACAUGUGUUGUGAUAUUGGGGCACUGAUGCCUAGGGAUAGAACUCAGAGGGAUAAGGGUAUGUGAGCCAAGCUCUAUUCAUCAGGAUAUGUAUGUGUGGUGUGUUGGAGAGUGUUAGCUAUACACUUCACUUAUGGGAUAUGACUGACUCGACGAGUUUAUGUGUGGUGUGGUGGAGAUCUGUGUAUCCAAUGUGCGGUAACAAAGUCCACUUUAUGUUUCAUCCUCUCAUGAGCCAAUCUAUCAUAAUUUGUAUUUUUAUGUGAUUCUCGUGAUUAAAUCCAUGAUUAUGGGUGUAUAUAUGAAAUUUUAUUCAAGUCGCAUGUGUUAAAAAAUAUGAUAUAUGUUGCUUUGAUGUUGCUAGAUGACUUGUUUGUACAAGUGUUUACUCUAAGCAUUCACUAAGCUUGUAAAGCUCACACACUCCAUUUUUACCAUUACAGAUACUUAGUGUUGGUGUGAGCAAGAUGACCAUCGAGGGAUUGAUGCAAGCUAUUCUUUAGUCAUUAUUGUAGGUGUUAUUAAUUAUUCUUGAGUAUACAAGUUAAGGCAAUGGGAUAGAUGGUUAUAUUGGUUUUGUUUAGUAUAUUUUGGAUUAAUUGUUUGCGUGGUAAAUAUGUUUAGAAGCAUUUGGAUUUGGACAUGGUAUUUUGGAUUAUUGUUUAAGUUCGAAUGAUUAAAGUACUCAUAUAUGUUGAAUUUUUGUAAUUAGAAACGGCAGUAUCGAUAUAUAGGUUUAAAAAAUGAUACCUCUGUACUCACGAAAGUCCAGGGGUCAGAAUACGAAAUUGGUAUCGAUACCAUGGCUAGAGUAUCGAUACUCGAGGAGUAAUUAUCAAUACCUUAAGAGAGGUAAUGAUAUUUUCUAAUAAGUUUGGUUUCAGAUGGAAAAUAGUGAGCUAGUUUGGUAUCGAUUUUCCAUGUGGUAUCGAUACCACUAAGAAGAAAUAUCGAUUCCUUAGAUUUAGUAUCGAUACCUAUGUUACCUUUUUGGGAAAUUUUUCUAUGAGGUCCCUAUGGUUGAUAAAUGCUCUAAUUAAGUUCGAAUGUUGCAUGUUUGCUCGACUAAGUUUCAAAUUGAGUCUACAUGACUCGUAAUUGGCUUCUAAGUAUUAUCUUUUAAAGCAAUUAAAAAGAUACAUGUUCACCUAUCAAAAUGUAGUCUUGAUGAAUAAGAAGUGAGACGGUGAUUUAACGCCCUAAUAUUUGGGAUCAGCGACCAGGCCGGGGAUAUGGUGUUAUAAUAGUUACCUAAAUAAACAUAUUUUAAACGAGACAAAAGUACCUUUAGUUCAAGCUUAGGUGAUUCCUCGAUUGACAAAUUUGGUUUUGUGAAUUCCUGAACUUCUAACUCUAGUGGUUCGAACCGCAGUGGUUGAACAUAACUCCUCGAAUUGGAUUCCAUCAAAGCCAUGUUUUCAUUACCAUUUUCAUCAUCCAAAGGUUCAGACACUAAAGUAUUCUCCAAUGGGUCUUCUCCAAGAUUUCUCUCUAUAGAAACUAAGGUUUCUAAUUCCUCCGUUGGAUCGGGAAAUUUCAUCACCUUCAGAAUGUUAAAUGAUACCUGGUCGUCUUGAACUCACAUGAUGAGUUCUCCUUUUUGCACAUCUAUCAACGUUCUUCUCGUGGCUAGGAAAGGUCUCCCUAGGAUGAUUAGAACUUCCUUAUCUGCUUCAAAGUCUAUCAUCAUAAAGUCAGUGGGAAAAAUAAACUUAUCAACUCUUACCAAAACAUCCUCGAUCUUUCCCUCGAGAUAUGCUAAUGAACGAUCCGCUAAUUGAACUGUCACAGUAGUGGGUUUUACUUCACCUAUUCUCAACAUUUUGAAAAUAGAUUUGGGCAUUAAGUUAAUGCUUACUCCUAAGACGACAAAGCUUUACCACAAUAUGAUUCACCAAUGUUACAGGGUAUCGUAAAACUUCCAGGAUCCUUCAGUUUUGGAGGUAGCUUGUUCUAUAAGAAUGCACUGCACUCAUUCGUCAAAGCAACAAUCUCAUACUCACUAAGCCAUUUCUUCUUGGACAAGAUAUCCUUUAUAAACUUCAUGUAGUUAGGCAUUUGUUCUAAAGCCUCCACCAACAGAAUGUUAAUUUGAAUUUGCUUUACCUCUAGGUUGAUACAGAAAACUUAUUCUACUAAAGUCUUUGAGGAUAUGGAACUCUAGGUUGAUACAGACAACUUUUCUAAAGAGGUAAAUCUAUAAAAAAAAGGUGUUAGCUUUUCAAACUUUACUAGUUUAAGGUUUAUCUUAUCAGAUUUUUCAGCAUCUAAUUUUUCUGAUGUAGGAACCUCAACUAUUGGUUGACUUUCCUCCUUCUCAGUAGGCUUAUCUUCAAUCACAACCUCAGAUUCCAAAAUCUUAUCACUUUGUAACUCAACCACUUUGAUUGCUCCUUACCCAAAUUUCUUAGAUUUUCUAUAUCACUCGACAAGGCUCCUCAUGGUCUAUUAUGAAGGUUAGUAGUUAAUUGACCCAUCUGGUUCUCUAGAUUUUUUAGUGUUGCUACUUGACUUUGGAUCAAGGCGUCAUUUUUCGCCAUGUAUACCUUCAAAAAAAUCCUCCAAACUAUUUAAUGACUCAGCUUGAGGUGGUUUUAGGGCUUGUUGGUUAAACCAUUGGGAUUGGUUAGGUCUAUGCUACAUUUGAUUAUUGUUCGAUCCAUUUCCUUGGUUACUCUAGUAAAAGUUCGGAUGCUUCCGCCAUGAUGGAUUGUAGAAGUUGGACUAGGGUCCUUGUCCACUUCUAUUUUAAUACUAAUUCCUUACAUAACAAAUUGACUCGGGGUUUGAAGGGCAAUUCUCGAAAGAAUGAAUAGCCCUACAAUAUACAUAAGAAAUUACAUCAUACUAACUUGAUGAUUGGGCUGCAAAAUUAUUUAAACCAUUGGUGGUAAAUUAUUUUAACAUUGAGGAAAUAAAAUAUACCUGAGCAGAGAGUGAAGUUAGUGCGUCCACUUCAUGCACUCCGGCUACUCGUUUUCUUGAAACUACUCGAUUUGUCAGCCAUUGGUAAUUAUUGCUAGUUAUCCUCUCGAUGAUAUCUUAAGCUUUGUUAUAAGACUUAGAUAAAAUUGCACCGUUUGUAGAAGCAUCAACCAUUAAUCUUGUGUAUGCUUUGAGACAAUUAUAAAAUGUCUCCAACUUGAUGCAUUGAGGAAUCUUAUGACGAUGACACUUACGAAGUAAUUCCAUGAAUCUUUCCCAUGCCUCGUACAAGGAUUUGUCUUCCAACUAUUGGAAACUAGUUAUCUUACAAAGCAAUUUUGCAUUUUUGCUCGGUGGAAAAUACUUUACCAAAAACCUUUCUGCCAAUUCUUGCCAAGUAGAUAUUGAACUUAGUGGCAAUGAAUUCAGCCAUGCUUGUGCUCGAUCUCGCAACGAGUACAAAAAUAGUUUUAACCUCAGUGCGUCUUCAGUCACACCAGUUAUCUUGAACGAAUCACUCACCUCCAAGAACAAAAGAAGGUGUAAGUGUGGAUCUUCUGUGGGCAUACCACUGAACUGGCCCACCAUUUGGUGCAUUUGAGACAUCACCGGUUUCAAUUCAAAUUGGGGUGCCUCGAUAUCUGUCCUCCAAAUUCUUGGAUUUAACUCAUUGAAGAAUGGCACAACAUAUUGUUUGAUGGCACGAUCCCUAUCAUCAGCACUAAGGAUUGGGUUAUGAACUUGAUUGACUCCAUUACCUUGCCCAACAUUUUGAUUUCUAAGGUCCAUCUCGGCUUGUCUUUGAGUAGAUAUUUUGCUUCUUCUUUGUAUAAAAGUUUGUUCGAUUUCAGGGUCUACAAGUAAUAGAUCAGUGAUUCGAUCUAUGCUCAUAAAACACCUAAAAUAAAUAAAAAAUAAAUUAUUAAAGUUAAAAAAAAAUAAAUAAAAAUAAAAACCACACUGUAAAAAAUAAUUUCACAAAAAAAUGAUUAAGGCAACAGCCCUCGGCAACGAUGCAAAAAACUUGUAAUGAGAAAUAUGCACAAGUGUACACAAUCGUUCAAGUAGUAAGUAAGUAAAAUGAGUUAUCAUCUCCAUAUGGAAUGUGUAUGUUAAUCGAUUAAUUGCAAAAUUAUAAAUUACAAUUUGAUAUAAAAAUAACUCAAUAAUUUUGGAUUGUGAUGAUUAAAUUAACUAGAUGCAAAGAGUGAUCCCUAAUGCAAUUUUAAUCUAAAUGCAAAUUAUCUAAAUGGAUGACUUUAGCAACAAAAACUAUCAACAUUAAAUGGGUUAGGACAACUAGAUUAAUCAAUUCAAUUUACUUUAUCAUGCUUAACAAUGUUCGGAAAUACUUCCAUGGCAACUCGGUCUUUCAUGAGUUUGGAAGCCAAAUUAAGUCCUCUCGGAUCUUUUACUUAGUGAAAUAUGAAUUUCACUGAUCAUAUUAGACUAAGGGUUUCUUAGCAUUUAUGCAAGGUCAUAGGGACAUUUAAGAUAUUAUGAACCUCAACUUAGUCGGGUUUAAGGAUCUAAAUUGAGUAUUGCACUUUUCAAUUAUGUGUCUACUAGACGUCGUCUGGUUAGGAUCGCUAUAACGCCCCAGAAUUUUUAAUUUUUGUUCUUGCGAAGGUGUGACAUAACUGUGUAUCUACUUCAGUGGUUAAGUGUUUUGUGUGUGUGAGAGAUCCCAAGUUCAAGGUAGGACUUGGGAAAAUUUUGGUAUUUUUAUGAAUAAUCUUUGGUCAGUAGGCUUUUAAGUAAAAGUUGACAAAUAAUUAACAGAAUGGGUCUGCUGGUUUGGUGGAUAAGUGGAGUUUUGGUGUGAAGGAGGUCCUGUGUUCAAUUCUCUGUGAUGGCGUGGAGACAGUAUUUUUGCUCCAAUUUCUGCUAAGAGUUGUGUUAGGACAAAAUUCUGAGUAGUUGUGUUUAAGUGGGUUAAUAGGGAGUGAUUUUAGGAGAUAAUGGGGGAGAGAUUAUUAGAAAAUAAUCUGAUUAUCAUUUUGUUGUAGAAAAAAAGUAGAUUUUCGAUUUUCUCUCCAAUUACCCAAACUUUUUUUGAUGUUUUUUAUUUCUUUUUUUCCCUCCUCUACCGAUUCUUUCCCCUAGUUACUGCCAAAAUUUCCAUUAUUUUUCCCCCUUCCAUUUCUUUCUUUAUUUUCCAAUUGAUUUGGUUGUUCAUCGUUGGUUGCACAUGUUCGGUAAGUAAUGAUUUUGUCUAUUGUUAAUCGUUCUUGGUUAAUCUCUGAAAGGGGAAUUCCUUUUUGGUGUUUAGGAGUUAAUCAAGGGGAUGGUGGUUUUGAAUCGAUGCUGUGAUUGUGUGAAAUCGUGGUUACUCAAGCAAGGUAGGGGUUUUGUUAGGUUUUUAGUCGAGUUCCUUCCAAAAUUGGUUGAUUAAAAAUGAAUUAAGUGAUUAAUCUGGAGAUUUGUUGGUCGAUUUUUAGGUUCUAGAGGCUUAGGAGUGCUUAUGCAUCAGAAACAAUACUAGGUGUGUACCCGAAAUGCAGAAAAUGGAAUUGGGGGAAAAGACGAAAUUGUUUGCUGUCGAGAAAUAAGAGAAAAUCAUGUGAAAAAUUGUAGAGAAAGGAAAUAAGAGUUUUAUAAACUUGGAAAUCAACAUUCUGCACUAAAAUAGUUUUGGACAACGACAGUAGUCUAAGUUUGAAAAAUCAUCAAAAAUAGUGGAAAUUGAGUUAGAGGUUGAAUAAAGUAUGAAAUUAAAUUUUAUUGAGUUUAGUUUUUCAUGCAAGAAAUAGUGUAAGCAAUGAAAUUGUAAGUUCUGAGAUAUAAUGAAUUUUGUGAGACAAGGUCAGAAUGGGUUCGGGUUCCCCUGUUCUAACUUUGGAAAAAUCAUCAAAAAUUAUAAAAAAAUAAUUAGGGGCUUAAAUUUAUAUGUUUAAAUCCUUAACGAGCCAAUUUUCAAGAGAAAUAAAUGGAAACAUCAUCCGAAUUCCGUACUAAGAGAUAAAUAAUUUUAAGGAAAUGUUGAAGUUGUCAAACAACAGAAUCGGGAUAGAUUUGAAGAUUUUACUGUACUUAUUUGAUAAACUAUAAAAUCUGAAAAUUUUAUGGUAGAAAGGUGUUUGAGUCUAGUUUCGAAAACAUCAAGCAGAUCUUAAUUUAGAAUUCUGUAGCUCAAGAUAUAAAUAAUUUAGGGACAAUGACUCAAGUAGACAGUUUUGAAUGAACAUAUAAGUAAAUAGUGAAAACAUAUAUGAAUGUUUAGCUAGCAUGGGUUACAUUAAAAAUGGAUCACACGGCCAAGGCCAAUUUGGGUUGAGUGGGCCACACGGACACACACGGGGGUGUGGGCCCAUUUUUGCCGGAAUGUUUCUAAGGUUGCACUGGUCGCCCAAGUCGACUGUGAACCUACUGUAAGGUCGGUAAGCGCUACUUAAACCCCUAAAUGUGUGAAAUUGACUGAAUGAUAUCUGUACUGAACAUGUUAAUAUCUAAACUGAAUAUAUGUACUGAAAUUGCUUAAUAGCAUAUCAUCCAUUAUAUGUUGCAUUGCAUUGGGUUGGGGUUGUUAUUCGGAAGAAGUGUAUGAAAGGCUUUAAGCCUAAUUUACUGGCAGCUCAGCUACAAAAUACUGUUUUGUGCCGCAUUUGGUACUACUUGGAGUGUAGGGAUGGGUGGGUUGAUUAUAUCCCCACAUGGAGUGUAGGGUUGGACAGAGAUUGUGUGUAGAGGCUGGAUGGGUAGGAUUUUGCUACUGUAUAACUAUUACUGCUACUGAUACUGUGAUGGGCUAAGACCCUACUACAUUUUUGACACUGUACUAAGAUAGGAUAAGGCCCAAACUAUCACUGAUACUGAAAAGGGCUUAGGCCUAACACUGUUCAACUAUGCACUGUGAAUACUGAUUGUUUGUUUGUUUUUGCGGGAUUACACACUGAGUUUACGUAAACUCACCCUUUUUUGUUUAAUGUGCACAGGUAAUCCCCAGACUUAGACGGAUCGGUGCAAGGGAGGACUCAGCGGUGACCACAGAAAUUUUUGGACUUCAUGGUUUUUAAUUUACAUUUUAUGAUUUAAUUAUUAUUGAUUAUUUGGGUUGUAAUUUAAGGACCCUCUAGGACUUUAGAUUUAAAUUUUGGGUUUUUAUUUAUUUAUUUUACUUUAUGGAUUUAUACCUACUGGUCGUUCGAAAUUCGGUUUUCAAAAAGUUAAAGUAGUUUCUAAACGCAUGAUCACUUAGACAGUUUUAUUAAAGCUUUCGCAACGAGGGAUGUUUCAAAACAAAUGUUUUAAAUGAAUAAAGACGACUUCCUAAGUUCUAACAAAGGUUUACUAAAGAUAAUAACAUGAAAUGUUUUCAACAUAACAACGAGGUUUCAAAAACACUAUCGUGUGACAUUGCCUGAGACGGCCAUAACGUCUAGGCUGGGUUUGGGGUGUUACAAUCGCUUAACUAGUCUGAGUGCACCCAAUCACGUAUGAAUGAAAUGCAACAUGAUAUUAAUUAAAAACAUGAUCAAAUGAGGCCCAAACAUAUUAAACAUGAAUAAAAUAAAUCUUAUUGAAUUAACAUAAUCAUCCUAGCAAAUAGGAUUUAAAAUACAAUAGUUGAUGUCAAAAACAAUAAACUCAAAGCAAACAUAAAUGACAAGAGGAAAGAGUAAACUCUAUUCAGUUCAGCAGCCUUUCGGAUCUAUUCUGACUGAUGCGCUCCUCUGUUCUAAUCGAUGCUUCUUUGCUAAGGGUUUCAAGGUGGCCGGCCAAAGAAUGCUUUUGAAAAAAAAAUUUUGGGUAAAGGAUGGAAGGGAGAUGGUGGCUAUGCAAAGGAAAGGAAGAGGAGAAUGGAAAGGGGAAUGAUAGAUGAGAGAAUGAAUAAGAAAUGAAUGUUGAGGGAUGAUGGAUCAGAGAUCAGGGAUCAGGGAUGUAUGGUAUUUAUAGAUGAAUGUAAGGGGUAGAGUUUACUAAAAAUAGAAUUUAAAUUCCUUCCUUUUCUCUCACAUAUGGCCGGCCACAAUUCAUGGAAAAGGGGAUGACUUAGUCUCCUCAUUUUGAAUUCAAACCAAUGUUAUUAAUAGCCAUAGGGUGGAUGGUUUCAACAACAAAGUUGUUAGGCUGAUACCUGAUUAUUUUCCAACUAUAAGGACCUUCAAUUAAAUACCCCAAAGCUUACUUUUGGGCAGCCAUCUACUUGUGUCAAAACUAGGCUAUAAUUCCCCAUUGUUGAUGGUUUCUCAGUCCAAUAAUUUAGCAGACAUGUCCAUCUUUUAGCACAUCUUUUGUUGGGUCAAAUUAACAACCUCAUGACCCAGUUUUGCAUGGUCUUGUCGUCCACAUGAAUUGAUUUGUGCAUAUCCAUGUUUCAUUCAUAUUAAUCACAUUUUCAAUGGUCCUCCUACAUAGUGAAAAAUCACAUAUUAAUAAAUUAACAUGAAAUAAUAUAAAAUAUGUACAAAAAUAAUGUACUUAAGCACAAUUUCAAUUACUUUAUAAAGGUAUGCCCAAUAUUACUAACUAAGUAAAAUUCACUUAUUUUAAUAACGAUUACUUAAUAUUAACAUAUUUAUUAAGUAAAAAUGUGGUAAAAAUAUAUAGAAAAACCCUAUAUAAUUUUGAGUUUACAAGACUCACAUCAUUCCCCCUUCCUCAAGAAGACUCGUCCCCAAAUCUUUAGCUACAUAAAAAGAAAAUGGAUUAGAACAAAUAACAAUAAAAUUAAAAAAAUACUUACCUAAGGUUUCUUGUGAGCCAAAACUAUUUCCAGGAUCAAAGAUAUUAUUUCGAUCCUUCAAAUUAGUUUCAAUCAUGGACAUCUAUUUUAAAAACAAGGUAUCAACACUAAGAAAAGAAAUGUUAGUCACAUGAGUGUUUAUGUAAAAAUUUAACUAUAACUUUCUUUGAUUAUUCAUUGUUAUCAAUAAGAAUUUCCAAAGAUUAGUUAAUAAUUUCGCAUAAUAAUCAAAAUCUAGAAGUUUAAUAUUAUUAUAUAAAAAUUCAUAUUAAAAGUCUAAGGUAUAAAAUUUUGUUGCAAGAUCAAAUGCAUAAAGUUCUUUAAUAAACCUAUUGAAUGCAACGAAAGUAAACUUGACAUACCUAGAUAAACUCAUAAAAUUAAUUGAACUUUCAGACCAAGGUUUAAUAAAAUUUGACCAACAAGAAAACAUGUUAUAAGGAAAUAUUUUACAAACAAAAUCAGUAGCAUACUUAUCAAAAACAUUCAAGGUAGGCCUUCUUAAAUCAAUUUCUAAUAUUUCAUCACAUUUCUUAACUUGUAACACUUGUAAGGAAUUAUCAAUAUUCAACUUACCUCUUUCCCACAAGUAAAAUCAUCUAUCGAUGGUAAAGUAAUAUAAUUGGAAGUCCGUCAAUGGAUCCCUGAAGUCAUGUAAUGAAGAAACACCACUAAACAAAUUUAAGUUAGGAUUAGUUAAAACAUAAUCAUUCCUCACUUUUGUAUGGGUAUUUUCUUGCUUUUCAUUUUCUUUUUUUCCACUUAAGAACUCUCUAAUUUUACCUCAUUUGGAUUUUCACUCACCAAAUUUGGACCAUCAAGUAGACUUUUAUCACUCAAGGUCUCUUUUCUCUCUAUCUUUUGACAUGAUUCUUCCUCACUUCCCAUAUCCCCCUUACAAGUAUUAUGAAUAUUCAAUUUAGUGCAAUACAUAGCAGUAGGAGAACAUGACAUUUCUAUCUCAUCUAACUCCAUCACUAUCAUUUUUUUAUCAACAAAAGUCUCGUGUUGGCACAAUCACGACUAUAGUACCCAUACCAUUUGCACUUAAAACAUUCAAUUUCAUGAGCAUUUUGUUGUUUUGGUAAAGAAUUAGUAAAAGUGGGCUGCUUAGAAGAUGUAGAAGAAUGUUUUGUAGGAACCCCACUUUUCCACUCAAAAGGUUUAAUCUCAUCAUGUUUUGGCAGCAACUUAUUAGUAGCAUAAGGAGGUUUCGAAUUCUUGAAAGUAGAAUUAGAACUCAUACCUCUAUAAUUUUGUGAUGCACCAAAUGGACGAGAUUGACGUUGUUGAAAUUGCUGCACAAUCUUAACUACCUUGUGUACCACCUCCUCAGGAUCAAUAUAGGUUUGAAGAUUAAGAACAUUGGCUAUCAAAACGUUCAAGCCAUCUAUAAACCACACCAUGGUAAUCUCUUCAUCUUCUCACAAAUUUUCUCUUUGCAUAAGCAUCUCCAUCUCUUUAAAGUACUCAUGAACAGAUCGAUUACCUUGAACAUGGUGUUUAAAUUUCAUUUUGGCCUCUCUGUGGUAAUGAGAAGGAAUGUAACACUUUCACAUCACUUGCUUCAACUCGUCCCAUGUUUCAAUUACCCUUUUGUAAUUUCUUUAACGAUUAAUUCUAUGUUGAAUCCAUCAACUCAACACAUAAUAUGAAAAUCCAAGGGUUACCAUUGAGAGUACUUUUUCCUUUUCUAAGCAUUUAUAGUAAUGGAACAUAAGUUCAAUUUUUGGUUCCCACUCACAAUAUGCUUUGGAAUCAUACUUCCCUCAGAAUGGUGGAAUGUUCAACUUUGAUUUAGCUAAAAAAAUGUUGCCUACAGUCAUUAUUAACCAAAGUCUCAUCAUUUGCACGAGAGACAUAUUGAGCAUUACUUGCACGAAGACGAGGCUGAUCAACCUUAUCUCCCCAAUUACGAUUUCGACACUCAAUUUUGGUACAUAGACAUUGCAAUUUUUUGCUAAUUGUGUCUAGAAUAAUUUCAUGUUUCUAAUCUCAAGCAUUUCAAACCUCUUGAUCUCUUUGCAACUUCCUAAUCAUAGUAUUGUGAAUCAUUAUAAAAGACUGAAAAGAACACAGCACUUAAGAAAAGAAAAAUUAAGCAAACCUCACUGUUAUGCACUCGCAAUAAAUAAAUAAACUUUAAGAGACAAAGAAAAUAAAUUAAGAUUUUCUUGCUUGUAACUUUUAAAGAGUAAUCAAACUCAAUAAUAUUAAAAAGAUGUGGGAUCACUCUUUAACAAAGUCGACCUAAGGCUCUAAGAAGCCAAAGAAAAACUCGACUCCAAAAGAAGUAAGUUGCGCGGAGAAAUGAGAGAUAACUUUUUUCGUACCUAUUAACACAAGAAACGAAAAUGUGUUAGAAUGCGUAAUAGAAUAAGAAAAACUAAAACAAAAGAAACCCUAAUGCUAGAAUCAAAGAAAAUAAAGUACCCAACCUAAAACCUGAAAUAAUGGAAAACAACUUGAAUAUUUUUGUUUAAGGUGUUCCCGAUUUCCAAAAAUCAUGAAAUUUAAAUUGGAGUCUCUUCAAAUAAUUUAGAUCUGAUUUGAAAAUUUUGACACAAAAAUCAUCCACAAUUUUUUUUUGUUUUUGCAGUUUUUUGAUCACUUUUUUGUGGGAAAUAUUUUUUUAUAUUCUAAGAGAGUUCCAAGAACCGGUAUGUAAAAUUUCAGAUCGUAUGGAAAUUGUUUACCCAUUGAAAAAUAUUUUUCUGAAAUCUUUCUAGGUAAAAAGAAAAAAAAUUAUUUGCGAUUUUUCGUUGGAAAUCAGUUUAAAAGAAAACAAAAAACACCUAAAUUUGAUACCGAAUGAUAAGGAGUUGGAGUGGAGGAAGCGGAAGAAGGAUCGAAUUCAAGUUUUUUCACUCAAGAAGGAAAGAUUUGGAUGUGACUUGAAAGGAAGAAAAUAACAAAAGAAAUAAGAAAAAUAAGAAAACUAAACAAAAAAAUUAAAGGAAAAAUAUUCAAAAUAAUAACUAAAUACUGAAAAUAUAGAUUAAAGUAAAGUGGAAGAUUGGACAAUAAAUCGAUGGAUAUGAUGGAUAGAAGGAUAAAUGUCCAAUUGAACCCAUUUGAGAUAUAAAUCCCAACAAGCUCAAUUAAUGGCUUUAAUUAACCCUCCAAGAAAUAAUCGUUGGCAAAUUGAAGGGUGAAGAAUGAAUUCUCAUGACUCCUUGAAGAAAAUAGAGAAGAAAACUACUUCUAAAAAUCACAAGAAAGAAAUCUUGUACAAAGAAACAAACUUCUAGAGUUGAAAACUUUAUUAAUGAAAACAAUUGUAUGAUUUGUGUACAAUGAAAAGGCUUGUAUAUAGGCUAGCUAAAUAAAUCUAAAUAAAACUUUUAAGUAUACUAGAAAUCUAACUAAUCUAAACAAGAAGUAGUUUUAAACUAAACUUUUUUGUUGACAUAAAACUCCUAUAUAACUUAAACUACUUAAUAAUUAUUAAAAAUUCAGAAUAAUAAAAUAAUAAGAGCUGAUAAAUAUAAUAUUGAGCUCAUAUAUAAUAAAAAUUAAGCCCAAAACCUAAAACCAAUAUGAUUUAAACUCAAGUUAAAAGCUCGAAACUCGUAAUUUCUAUCAUAAUCCCCUCCAAAAAUUAUGCUCGUGCAGUUUUCACUAAAACGAUCAUAACAUGAGCUCUCGAACUCAAAAUCGAGUGAUUUAAAGUGUGUUUCGAAGAAAAAAGAUAGGUCUUCGAACGCCAUGGUGACAUCUCAACCUAGAAUUGUCUGGAUCUCAUCCAAAAAGUUGUCACAAGUCUACUAAUUUUCCAAACUUGAAAAUUGGCAGCUUUGGUGAAUGAAAUUUAAUAAAUUUCACCUCAUUUGUGCAUGUAUAUCCCCCUUUCCUUGAAAAGAUUCAUCCUUGAAUCUUGUCUUUGAUCGAAUCUUAGUUUGAUUUGCUUGGGGUUUGACAUUGUUGUUAGGCCUUGAGGUAGUGUGAGCUCAUCACAUCCAUGGGUCUGAAAUUGGGCCUUGAGACUCGCAUCAAAAGGUAAGUUAAUAUGUAAUUGUUUAAAAAUUUUAAGAAAUUUACCAAAUUGUUCACCAUGCAGUCUUUCUUCAACUUUUCUAGAUAUGGAAUUGGUGGCUUGUAUUCCUUAAGAACUAGUGUUUGAAUUCUCUCGUUUUCUUUCACCCCAUCAUCUUUCUCAUCAAUUUCUUGUUUCAACUUCUUUUCCAAUUCAGACAAUAGCUUCCCACUUGUCAACAUAACUACUUUUACAUGCUCUUUUGGGUUGGGUCCAGUGUUACUAAGUAAGCUACCUUGUUGUUUCUCCGAAACUAGUUUAGCCACCUAUCCAAUCUAAUUUUUAAGUCCCUGAAUUAAGUCUCUUGCUAAAUUUUUAGAGUUGUCUCAGUGUUUUGAAAUCUAGUUUCAGAAAUCAAAAUAAAUUUAGCUAACAUAUUCUCAAUGUUCAGUUUCUUUUCUUGUUGAUAAAGUUGAUGAAAACUUGGAGGGGGUUGUGACCUUUAAUUUCCUUGACCACCCUAAGAAAAAUUCGGAUGGUUCCUCCAUCUUGGAUUAUAAUUAUUGUUAUAGGGGUUAUUUUGAGGUUUAGAAUUAUUACUCAUAAUUUCAACUUGCUCAUGCUCCAUGUUAGACUUGAAGGGCAAACAUUCCGGAUUAAUCAUCCCCGUUCCAGUCGCAUCACAUUGCAUUACUAGAUUCAUCUGCCCAACCAAACUCAAACCAUUAGCUUUCUAACCAAGAGCUUCAACUUGACUAGCCAAUAUAGAUACUACAUCAAUAUCGAAAACUUUGAUUGCCUUGGAAGGUUUUACUCUCAUAACUUGCCACUGAUAAUUAUUUAGUGACAUCUCCUCAAUAAACUCUUGGGCUGCCUCAGGUAUUUUGUUAUUCAGUGUUUCGCCAGUUGCUGUGCUAAUCAUCUACCUAGUCGAGGGGUUCAAACCAUUGUAAAAAGUUUCAACUUGGAGCCACAAAGGUAAUCAAUGAGGAGGACACCUUCUCAAGAGGUGCUUCAAUCUCUCCUAUGUAUCAUAAAGCGCCUCAAGAUCAAAUUGAACAAAAGAAUAGAUGUCAUUCCUUAACUUAGUUGUUUUGGCUAGUGAAAAAUACUUCAACAAAAACUUCUCAGUCAUUUACAUCCAAGCCAUGAUGAAAUCCCAUGGCAGUGAAUUCGACCACUGUUUUGCCUUGUUCCUCAAAGAGAAUAGGAACAACCGUAAGCAUAUGGAAUCAUCAGUAACACCAUUUAUCUUAAAUGUGUCACAGAUCUCCAAAAAGUUAGACAAAUGAGCAUUCGAAUCUUCAUAUUGCAAACCAUCAAACUGAACAUACUAUUGCACCAUCUAAAUUUUGUUUGACUUAAUCUCAACAUUGUUUACAGUAAUAGUCAGUUUGACAAUAGUCGAUUCAGCCUUAAUUAGAGUGGGCUUAGCAUAGUCAAACAUAGUCCAAGGAGCAGGACUUCCAGGAAGUUGCGGAUUAACAAGAUUAAUAUCCAUCUCCACAGUAAUGUCAUUUUGCUCUUGAUUGUUUACUAAAAUCUAUUGAAUUUUAUUUGUUUCUCUAACCUCUCUCUAAUUUUUUCGAGAAUUUUUUUAUCUCACUAUAAAAAACUAAUGGUUCCAAUGAGUUGCCUCUAGUAAUAAACCAAAAGAACUUGUAAGAAUCAAAAAAAGGAAAAAAUUAGAAUGUAAAAAUUAAAUUAAAAAUAAAAGUAUUAAAAUUAAAAUAAGAAAUGACUAAAUUAAUAGAAAUAAAGUUUUCCUAAUAUUCUAGUCUAUGGCAACAGCUCCAAAAACUUGAUGCAUCGCGAAACUAAUUAGAAAUUUGACUAACGCAAGUGCACCUAUCAAUUUAUAGUAUAGCUAUGGCUAGAAAAUAUAUUAUUCCCACGAAGAUUAAAAGUACUAGUAAUUAUCGUCUUUCUAUUAUUUAACCGAAUAAUUUGAGUGAUUGAUUAAAAACAAAAAUUAACUAAAUUAUUUAACUAACGAACACGAGAAAGAACAAAACACGAAAAUAAUCGAUUAGCAACCAAUAACCAAAACAAUACCCAGGAAAGAAUCCUCUAGAUUCCAUCUAUCACUAUCAAUCUAAAUUACACAAUUUCUUUACUUAACACAUUGAUUCGUAGAAAUCUCUAAAUUAUGUUAAUAUCUCUUUCAAGCAUAAGAACAUCUGACUCUAGGUUGAUUAAUUGAAAUUUCUUUUUAAUUAAAACUCCUAUUAUUUCAUUAACUCGUGCUAUGAAUUCCCUAUUAGAUUUAACUCUAAUCUGGUAGAUUACGUGUAACUCUACUAAAUUACACAAGAUCUACUCUUAAACAGGGUCUAUUCAACUAUCAAUUUAAGCACAUCAAACAUGGAUUAAUAAUCUAGAAAUAUCAAACAAAUAAUUAAGCACACAUAAUUAAGAAAAAGAAACUAACACUACACCAAAACAGGCUUUUAGCGGCGUUUUUAAUGGCGUUUGGAUAAAAAACGCCGCUAAAGAUCGAGUAUUAGGGGCGCUUUUUGGCUAAAAAUUGAGCAUUAGCGGCUUUUUUUGAAACUUAGGCCCAACGAUGUCAUUUUCUAAGGUUUCGGGGCUUUAGUGGCUUUUUUAAGAAGCAUCGCUAAUGCAUGGGGAUUUAGCCGCGUUUUUUAAAAAGCGUCGGUAAAGGUUAGGGCUUUAGCGGCGUUUUUAAGGAAGCGCUGCUAGUGCUCUAUUUUUAGCGGCGUUUUUAGAAAAGCGCCACAAAAAUAUUUUAUCUGUCUAUUUAUUAUUUAAUUGGUUUGUUUAUAUUAAUUAAAAUUCAAAUUAUUUUUAAUUGAACAUUCAAAACCUUCAAAAAAAAUAAUGACACGUAGAAAUAAUUUGAAAGUGAAAACAUAGAAAAAUAUUUGUUAAAAAUAAAAAAAAUUAAAAUACUAUUAUUUAAAAUAAUUUUAAAGUUUUUUAGGUACAUGACUGAUUUUUUUAAUUUAUAUAUUAAAUAAUUUCUUAUAUAAUCGUAAAAAGAUAGUAUUAAUUUUAAAAUAUUGAAUUAAUUAUCAUUAUAGUUUAUGGUUUAUAGUUAAGGGUAUAUAGUUUAGGGUUUAAAGUUUAAGAGUUACUAUUUUUAGGUUUAUAGAUUAUGAGUUUAGGGAUUAUGGUUUAUGGUUUAUGGUUUAUGGUUUAAGGUUUAGGGGUUACGGUUUAUGAUUUAAGGUUUAUAGAUUAAGGGUUGGGGUUUAGGGUUAGGGGUUAGGGGUUAAGAGUUAAGGGUUUAAGGUUUAGAUUAAUUAGUGUUUUUUAAUUUAUAUAUUAAAUAAUUUAUUAUAUAGUUGUAAAAGAGAUAAUAUUAAAUUUAAAAUAUUAAAAAUAUGAUUAUAGUUUAAAUUAUUUAUAAAUAAUUUUAUAUUAAAUAAUUUAUAUAUUAAAUAAUUUAAUAUAUUAACAUAAUGAUUAUAGUGUUUUUAAUACAUGACUGAUUGUUUUUUAAUUUAUAUAUUAAAUUAUUUCUUAUAUAAUCGUAAAAGAGAUAAUAUUAAUUUUAAAAUAUUGAAUUAAUUAUGAUUAUAGUUUUGGGUUUAUAGUUUUGGGUAUAUGGUGUAAGGUUUAAGGUUUAAGAGUUACUAUUUUAAGGUUUAUGGAUUAUGGGUUUAGGGAUUACAGUUUAUUGUUUAAGGGUUGAGAUUUAAGGUUUAGGGGUUAGGGGUUUAAGAUUUCAAGGUUAUGUUUUAUGAUUUAUGGUUUAAGGGAUAGAGAUUUAGGGUUUAGAUUAAUUAGUGUUUAUUAAUUUAUAUAUUAAAUAUUUUCUUAUAUAAUUGUGAAAGAGAUAAUAUUAAUUUUAAUAUAUUAAAAUUAUAAUUAUAGUUUAAAUUAUUUAAGAGAUAAUCGAUAAACUUUAUAUAUAUUAAAUGGUUUAGGAUUUAAGGUUAACUUAAGAUUUGUUAAAUGAUAAAAUUUUAUACAAUCAUUUAAUGCUUUUAUAUUUAAAAAUAUUUAAUUUAAACCAUUUAAUAUAUUUAAAUAUUAGAUUUUAAAAAAAUUAAUAAGUACAAAAAAUUACUUAAUAAAUAAUUUUUAACAGAUAAAAUAAAAAAUUUUUAACAGAACAAAAUUAUAUAGUUUGUUCAAAAUAAAAUAAUUUUUUAUAAGGUACUGACAAAAUUCAUUUUAAUUAAAAAAAUUGGCGCUGAUUUUUCCCCAAAUUUGCCCCUAAAACCUAAAAACGAAAAAAUCCCAAAUUUUCCCCUAAAAUGGAGGCACGAAAGACGAUUCAUCUCCUUUGAUGAGAGUAGUAGUGUGAGGAAUGGGAAUUAUCUUCUCAUUUGUUGAAACCUGAAGCCGUGGAGAACAAGAAGAGGUCGCCUAAUUCAAAAGGGAGCAACGAAGAAGCUAUGCUUUCGUUUACUUCAGGUGUAAUCUUACCUUCAUCUGGUGUGGUGAAAUCAAGUGGGGGUGCCGGGGAUUCAGAUCACUCUGAUCUUGAAGCUUCCGUUGUUAAGGAGGCCGAUAGUAGUCGAGUCGUAGAGCCUGAAAAGAGGCCUCGGUGAACUCUGAAGUGGGCCUAUUCUCGUCGAGGAACAAUCGUUGCACCUUCUCCUUCUUCCCGUUUCGCUGCUAAUUCGCUUUUUUGCCCUUUUUUGCUUUUAAAGUACACCAAUACCACUCUUUAUUUUUUUCCUUCGUUUUCACUUGGAAUUUCGUUGGAUUAUUAAAGGUUCUUAUUGUUAUUGUUAUGUAUAGAGAGAUUACAUGUACUAAAGAGUGGUUGUUUUGGUUUUGCGGAGUUGCAGGGGUUAUUCUAGUAUUCACUUCGCAAGAUUUGAAGCAAAAUCCAUUUGUGUGUGAUGG